UUUUUUUCCUUUUUUUGAACUUCUAUAUUUUCAUUAGGAUUUCUACUUGUUUUAAUGUUUGUUGGGGCUCAGUAAUAAGGGAUAGGAUAUGACUAAGAAAAUGAAAUUACAAAGUUUGUUGAUCUUUCCUCACUCUAGAAGACCUAAAACAUGAGAACGUUGACUUUGAAAGUCUCUUUUGGAUUCUUAGAAGUCUUGACAAAAAAAAAAAGUAGAAACUUCUAGUAAGACUGAAAAUAUUUAAUGAAAAAUCAUUGUAAUUCUGAUUGAAUUUAUUAUAAAAGCAAAUCCUCAAAGUAGGAACUCCCUUGGACUUGAUAUCUGAUUUGUUUACUCACCUAGAGACAAAAAAAGAUGUACUAAAAUUCCAGAAUAAAUUAAUAAUCAUAGAAAUGGUUGUUAUAGAGUCCUUCCACUUGCUGCAAAGUAGGAAAUUGGAGACCCUCAUUGAAAUUGUUAUGCUGCAUCUAGGCAAGAAUGUUUUGAGAGAAACAGGAGAGAGAAGAGUGCUCAAACUGCCAUUUCCAGUUGCAGUUCCCCUAAAUUUGUGUAGAGUCUUCUGACAUGUCAAGUCACAUGAUAUUCAAUGGAUCAUGCAGAUUUGAAAAAUAAAUCCAUUGAUUUAGGAAAACAGCACCUUGAUCAUGACUCAGAUUUAGGAGAGAAAUGAUUGGAACAGUUGGUGUAGAACUAGCACAAUGUCAUAUAUAAGGUAUAUGGAAGUUGGUGAGCUAAACCAUAUCCUACCAGGGAUCUUAUUUGUGUCGAUCUACGUUGUCUAUCAGCUAAAUAAUGGAGGGGUGGAAUUUGUCAUGUACGAGGAAAGCUCUCUUGAAAACUGGAAAAAAAUAAAAUCAAAUAAAAAAUGCAGUUUUAAAGCAGUCAGUCAUGCAUUUUUUUUUUCUGACAUUUUCAAUGAUUGCAGUUAUUCAUAGCCAACCAAGAGAAGUUCCAUGCUGAAGCUGAUAAGAAUUACUGGAAAGCAAUUGCAGAGCUCAUUCCUAAUGAAGUGCCAGCUAUAGAAAAGAAGAGAGGGAAGAAGGAUCAGGAUAAGAAGCCUUCCAUUGUUGUGAUCCAAGGGCCCAAGCCUGGGAAACCUACUGACCUGUCAAGGAUGCGACAAAUACUCUUAAAGCUAAAGCACAAUACACCUCCCCACCUGAAACCCUCUCCACCACCAGCACCAGCCCCGGCCAAGGACACCAAGACUGGCAAUUCUGCCUCUGCUGCUGCUCCCGCCAAGGCUGCUGUUGGGCCAAGCCCCCCUGAGGCUGUUGCUGCUGCUUGAUACUUAACUGGUUGCCAUCUUUGUCAGCUUUUUUUCUUAUAUGGAUGGAUAUUUGGUCUCGGAGAUUAUUAUUUUUGGUUUGUUGGGAGUUCUAGCCCUUUUAAGGACACUUUUGAUCGGUGGUUUAUGUGAUGGUGCUAGGUUAUAUUUUUGUGCAUGUUGAUGUAUAAAACAUGGUUUAUCUAGACAGCAUUUUGGCUGAUUAUAUUGUACCAUUGCAUUUUGGAUGGUAUGCCUGUUACCAGUGGCCAUUGGAUGAGUCUGAACUCAAGCUUGAGGUGACAUGAGAGGAGUCAGUUUAAGAUUGGUGAUUAGAUGGGUUGGAUGGGUUCAGGUGAUGCCAAUAAUGGUUCCAAUGGAUCUUGCUAUUUAUCAGAAUCUACAUGUGCUUUUUCUUGAGAGAAAAUGUUAAAAGUUUCUUAGUGCUGUGCCCUUUCUCAUUACCACCACAUGCUGAGGAUAUCUAUUUGGGCUCCCAUUCAGAAAGUUUGAAUGUGUGUAUGAUUCAAGUGGUCCUGCCACUGAAGAGAUUGAUCCAAGUCCAGAAAUAUGUUUGUACAGCACCAGACUGACUACUCAUAACUAUUGCAUUCCCAUCAUUCAAAAUCUGAAGUAGGCGGGUGGAGAUAUGUGGUCCAGUUGCAGCUUUUAUUAACAGACUGCCACAUGAAAGUCCAAAAGAUCCAAGCCAUUAAGUUCUGCCAAAGGGUGGGAACUCAGAGGCCAUUCAAACACUCAUCUAUGAGCCCUAUAUGGAUGCACUGAUGCUCAAAAUAGAAACCAUGUUCGAUCCAAAGGUCUCACAGACCUAUCACUUUAAAAACCAAUUCAUUGUGUUUGACUCUGACCCAAGGGCUUCACACAACCUAAUUUUGCUUGCUUAUGCCUUAGGCCCGCAACAAAACUCUCAUGUUAACAUUCCACUCAACUCUUACUAUUAUGGGUCUAAUAUGAAUCCCUGUAUCAUCUCCCCAGUUACAGUAAUCUUUACCAAAUGAACAGCACAAGGCACCAGUGUCAUUCUCAGGUUUUAACAUCAGUGGCAAACAUCAAUAUAUCAUCAUGAACUCGUUCUCAAGGAAUCCUCCAAAGAAGUUAACAAUGAAAAUGAAAAACUUGAAGCAUAAACAGCAACAGGCAAGAAAGAUGUUAUUUGAACAAGCGAAGGAGAACAGAAUGGGCAAUGAAUUUCAUACAGUUGACUUUGCUGCUUUGACCACUCUGCUACUUGUUUCUGCAUGAUCUAUCACAUAGGAGUAUUAAUGCCAUCAGCAGACUAAACAGUUGUCAUAUCAUUAUGCAAGAAGAUAUGAAAAGAGAUCAAGCUUCCAAAGCCAAUCAGCAAUACCUCACCGUGUAGAAAAUGAGCCAGAAAGAUGGCUUAGAACAUAACUGCCUAAUAAUACAAAGGUGAUGAAUGAUAUAAUCUUUAACUGCCAGUCAAUCCAAUAAACUUUACAUAAAUCAUAGAGGCAUGUUGCACAUCAGUUCUUCCCGGAAACUGCUCCCCUUUCAACUGCCGGGUAGCAGAGAUCCCAAAUAAAAUAUAAAGUGGAUUAGAAAAGUAGUUCAGAGUUCAGGAUGGUGAAGUGCUCUGGCUAUCAUCUGCCACGUAAGCUGGCAGGAGACGGCCGACCCCCUCUCUCACUGCCAAUAUCAUCUUCUAUUUCACCCCCAUCUACACAAAGGGCAUUGUUGUUGACACUCACUUCAGAACUAGCAUUACUGCUUGUGGCAAGAGGGGAAUCUGAAACACUAACUGUUCUGCUUCGUGUAGGCCCUGACCUCACACUGUACAUAGAGGACGCUGGAAUAUUUGUCAUCAGGGGCCGUAGAUUACCUGGAAUGCUUCGCCUUAUGUCCUGCCAAGAGCAAAUCCCAAAUUAAGGGAAAAAAAAAAAUGAUACUACUUCCUUCUCCUUUUAAAUAAUCCGAAUGGGAAAUAAAUAAGAGAAAAGGGGUUUUGUAGGAUCAAUCUGGGCUUUAUGAAAGAAAGGAUAAAAACUGGCUUGACCAUAGAGAAGAGAGAAACAUAUUCUGGUGUGAUAAAUGAAGACAGUUUUGAAAUAUUCCACCUCAACAAACUUAUAAACCUCACAUAUUCUAAAACCAGGAUCCUAGCCUAAACCCAUAGAUAAUAAACCAAAUAAAAUGUAAAGAGAUGCAUACCAUAUGUCUAAUAGCCAUAUCCAGAGAUUUCUUUGAGAGUGUUCUUCCAAAGCCAGAGCUGUCCGGGGAUGAAGCCAACUUCCCAGACAAGUUACCACGAGGAGAAUGUUUGUCUUCUUGCUUAGGGGGGACCAGUUUUCUCAUAUUUAUCACCCUUUCAACCAUUUUUGUUCCAAUUAAAACAGGGCUUACAUUGUCACUAACUUUUGAAAGCCCACGGCUCACUGCAGGAACUGAGCUUCCACUGGUAUGAAUAAUGCCAUUGGGAGGACGACCUCUUGCUGGAGAGCAUGAUUGCCGCCUUGGCCUUCCAUUAGGAGCAGCAUCAACAGAAGAAGAUCGAGCAAUAGGUGCACUAGGCCUACCCCUUGAGGCCGAAACUGGCCUUUCAGGAGCUGAUGUCCUUAAAUUUGGAGGAGCAUCAAGCGAGUAACCAGGCAUCUCCAAUGGCUUCCAUGGUCUGGACUUCACAGUUGGGGAACUCCCACGGGAUGGCACUGGGUUUCUUGAUGUAGCAGGACCUGAUUUUGUGACUGACGAAGUAGAUUUAAUUGGAGGAGCAGAUAAAUUUGAUACACUUGAAGGUGUAGAGGGUCGACGAGUUGGUGUCGCAGCCCUUGAUACAGGCUUGGAUGCCGGAAUGGAGGGCCUGGAUGUUGGCGUUGAAGAUCUUGCUGUAGACCUGGUUACAGGUGUAGAUGAUCUUGCAGGAACUGUGGGCUUUGUUGAAGUUAGGGUGGCCCGAGAAGUAGGUGUUGCUGGUCUUGAAGGUCUAGUUGUGGCAGUCAAUGUCGGACGUCCAGUUGGUGUUGCAGGUCUUGAUCCUGGACCCCCUGAUGAUGAUGGCCUGCGGAUUCCUGCACUUGAGGAAUUCAACCCAGGGGAGGAAGCUGGAUGUUUAGAUACUAAGCUGCUCCUUGCAGCAGGCUCUGGCUGGGGGUUUGCUAACUAUAACCAAAAUAUACAAACAACAUGAGUUCAUGACUUUGGGAGAAUAAGAGCCCAGAAAUUCCUAAACAUUAGAUAUUAGAACAGAAACACUUUUUAAGCAUCUCAUUAAACAGAAUUGAACUGUUGAGAAGAAGUAUUAUUGUUUUUAUGGGAACUCAUUAACAAUUCUUGACUCCAUGUUAGCUGAGAUUAUAAAGACUCUUAGAAUACUUCUUGCACUUGGUGGUUCAAAGGAACUGAGCCUUGUUCAAAUGAUAGUGAGAUAGUGUAAAAUUCAAAAAGAACUGAUGUAGUUGAACUUGGUAUAUCAAUGUUAUACAAUUUAAAGAUGUAAUAGCAAGUUUACCACACGAGAAAGAUGAGGAAACAAUUUUUUUUCUUAAGUUAAGUAGUUAGUCAUUUUUUCUUUUCUGUUGAGGGCUUCCUGAAAACCAAUAUCCUAUUAGACCAAUACAAUAUCAAACUACUAAUUUCAUCCAAAAUUUUUAGCCAUUAGAUAAGGGUAAGAAAAUGUAAGCAAUUGAACCAAUAUCAUUAAUAGAGUCAGCCCUUGGGGCCUAGCUCAAGUGGUAAAGGGUUGGGGUGGAUUUGUAGACAUUCCAAGUUCAAGUGCCAGUGGGGAUAAAAAAGGAAAAAAGAGGGGAAAAAAUGUUUUACCUAUCAGAAAAAAAAAACUUGUCAUAAUUUCUUUAUUUCUUAAGAUUGAUGUUUUCAUAUUUGUGCCUCUCAAAUGAUAUAUAAAUGCCAUUAGACGCUAGUGAACAAGGACACUUAUCCACCAUAAGAUUUUAAAUUAAAGCUCUUACUCUAGAUUUCAAUGCAGUGGGGCGAGCUUUAGGGGUUCCAAUCCGACUCAUAACAGUUUUCUGUGAUUCCAUCUCCAGGGAAGGAAAAAGAGGAGUGCCAGGAGGUGUUAGAAGCCUGAAAUAGAAGAGAAUAAUAAUGUCACCAAGUUAGGAAACAAGGUUUUGAACCUUAUGCAUCAAUGAAAACCACAAACAAUACAGCACCCCCAUGAAACAUCAGCAGUAUAGGCAGAAAAUCCAGAAAAAAAGCUUUAUUCUGUCAUGCAUUGCCACAAUUAAAAUUCUACUGCUAGUACAUGUUUAAGAGAUGAUAAUAUGCUAAAGAUAUCUUGCAAACCAUUCAUUCAUUUAUUUUGUACAGCUGAUUGUGUGAUAUCUAGUGUUGAACAAAUAUCUAGAUCAUUUGUUUGUCAGAUGUAAUACAUGUUGAAACCAGAUUUGUGUGGAUCAGUAGAACUGCUAAAAAAUUUGAGGGCCAGUCACUUCUCAUGGGGAGCAUGGGAAGUAAUACAGGGAUGUCUUUUUCUUCUUUAACACCACACAUAUCUGUCUGGUGUGCGGGGUGUGUGCAUGCAUAUGUGUAAAUUAGAAGUGUGAUGAUCAAUAGUAAUGACAAGAAUCUUUUAAUUCAGUCAAGGAACCAGUGACAUUGGACUUAGGGAGAUUGGGUUUAAGAAUGUAAAAGAGAUCCACUAAGAGAAACCAUGGAUUCUGUCUUUUGUAGUUUCCAAGAGUACCAGCAGAUGAUUAGAAACACCCUUGUUAGCAGUAUCAGGAUCACAGUAACUUUCCCAUUGUCACUGUCAUUAGUUUUGCAUGCCAAUUGUCUUCUGUAACAUGCCUCAUCCAGUUCCAUAACUGUGCUCGACAAUAAAAGGGCUUACUGGCAGGGUGAUAAAUUUAUCAUUUACCACCUAAAUUUUCAAAUACAACAUCCAACACAAACCCAGUACAAACAUGAGGAUCAAAUUUUAUUUUCUAGGAGAUAGUUUUGAUUUGAAAGAAAUAGGAACCAACUAUCCCACCAUGCCUCAUAACACUAAUUUUCAAGCUAAUUUUGAUAAUCAUCCCAACCUAUAAACAACAAAUCUAUUCAAAUAGAUCAACCUUAAACUCAUAAAAAGUAAUCUAAGAGAUGGUACUACGUUACCAGUCAUAAUCAUUUUUAUCAUUGUCAGAAUUCAGGAAAUCAUCUGCAACAGUUUUACGUGGAGGGGGUGAUGGUGCAAUGUUGAAUAUGGGAGAACUGCCCGGUUUUGCUCCUGCAAUUGAGAAAUUGAGAAACAAAAUAAAAAACUUAAUCUCAAUGCCAAACAGCGAAGAGAAGAAUUCACAACAUAACUUUCAUGCACGUUGAUUAGAAAUAGCUGCAAAUUUGGUAUAUAUUUCAAGAAUAUGAUGAAAUAAAAAGCAACGGGUUAAAGUCCAAUAAAAGAGACAAUAAUUCCAAAUCAAUUAUCAUCAAUUUGAAGAAGCGAAGGCCACAAAACAUCAGAUAGAAACCUUGAAACCCAAAACCAACAAAAGGAUUCCACAAAUCCGCACCUAAUGGAGCAUCAAACUCUUCCGAAUCCUGCAGAAGGAGGAGGUGACUCCGCUCUUUCUCGCGUUUCCGCAUCUCAAGAAACAACGCCAGCUCCUCAUCCUUCUCCUUCAUCACCGACGACCUCAAACUCCCCACUUGCUGCUGCCUCUGCCUCACCGUAGCUGACAUUUGCGAUUCCUGAGCCCUAAAACUCCGAUUCAUUGCCAAAUCUAAACUCCACCAACACCAAAAAUAGCUAGUAGACGAAGAAAAACACCCAAACAACCGAAUCUUCAACCAAAAACCUAACUUCUCCUCCACGUAAACAAACGCAACCACAUCCACCCAACAAGAAUCCUCACACUCCUCAGAAACCUAAAUCAACACAUACAGAUCUGAAAUCGAGCUCCAAAUUUGCGAAACUCCAAGCCGCAGCUCAGCACAAAACACAUCAGCAUUUCGCCUUACUCUCCAUGAAUCAAACCAAAAACCAAAAACCAAAAACCAGAAGGAAAGAACUCAACAAAACCGAAACCUAGAGAGAGGAGCAACCGGCAUUGUUGAAACCUAGAGAGAGAAAGACGCCAUUGUUAAAGAACGAAGCUGAAGUCUCGAGAGAGAAAGAAACAGAGAUCACAGUAGAGAGAAGAUGAAGAGAGAGUGGCAUUUAAUGUUAUUUAGGAGUUAUUUGAGGUCCGAAUCCAAAAUGAGGAACAGGAAGCGAGGGAGACCAGGUUUUUCAGGGGAAGUUGGGAAUUUAUUUUUUUUAUUUUUUAUUUUUUUAUUUUUUGAGAUUUCUUUGAAAGCGGACAACUAUUACUGCAGCUCUCGCUCUUUCUCUCACUUAAAGGCUACGCUUUCACGUUGUUCCUUUAGGUGGAUAAUCACGGGUGGGGAUUUUGCAGUGGUGCCCCUCCACUUUUGCAUAUCUCCAGUUUAACCCCUAAUUUGAUUUCUUCUUCAAAGAGAGAACUCAGGCCUUCAAAUGGAACAAGAAUUUAAAAAAAUGGAGACACAUAUUUAUUGAAUCACCGACCACGUUGAAUGAAUUCCCAUGUCUUCUAUCCUCUAAAUUCUUGUCAUUUUUCUGUAUUUUGAUGAUAUUAAUGGAAUUUAUAUUUUAUAUUUUUCUAAAAGGAUUUGCUAUGACAAUGAACGUAUGAUUUUGGGGUCUAUAUAUAUUCUUCAUUUAAUUUCAAUUCCGACUCCUACAACCUCAUAAUUCCAAACAACCAAUUUUAUUAUUAUAUGUAUUAGGUGAGAAACUAAAUAAUUUAUGAUAUUAAAUUUGUAGUUAAGAAAAGUAGUGUCAAACAAAAAGUCUUCUUAUUACAUGACUUUUUCCGUCAAUUCGACUUAGAAAAUACUUUUCUCUUUUGUCUAACCUAGGAAAUAAUUUUUAUAAGUCAUGAAAUUAAAAAACAGUUAUGAAUGGAUUUGGACUUUUUUUUUUUUUGUUUAAUUCAAACUAUUCAGGCUUUAUCUUAUGUAUAUAAAAUCCUCAAAUUAUUCAAUUAUGAAUGAAAUUUAACAAGUAUUUGGUUAAAAAAAUAUAAAAUAACUCUUAAAUUGUGAUUUUAAUAUUUUCUAUAUUUAAAAAAAAAAAAAGACCAAUUUUUUACUAUUUCAAAUAUUUAUAAAUAGGUUUUUUUUUUAAAAAAAGGUUAUUUUUAUAAGAAGAUAAUGGGAACAUUUUUACCUAAAUAAGGCCAAAAAAAGGUAAAAUAUUAAAUUUCAAAAUUUAGGUUUUUUAAAACCUUUUUAAUCAAAUAGCCCUUAAUUUAAUUUUAAUUUUUAAUACAUAUAAAAUAUUAUUUUUUUAAUAAAAUAAGUUAUGCAAAAUGAAAAUGCAAUUAAAUUUUUUAAUAUAUACAUAUAAAAAAAAUUAAGCCAUGAAGGCAAAUAUAAGAAAUUCUGAUGUGGACCUUGUCUUAUUUAUUUAUUUAGAGAUGAAAUGCUAAUUAAUUUAUACAACUAGAAUGGGUUUGGGUCAUCUCCAAGACUCAAACCAUCCUAAUGCAUCCCAAUAAUGAAGGUGGGCGAGUAUUUAUAUACAAAUGAUGUAACAUAAUUGUCACGUAUGUCCUGUUUACGUGUAUUUUACGGUACGUUAGCUUAGAAGGGGAAAUAACAUAACAUUGCAUUUAUGUUGGGAUUCAUAAUUUUAAAUUACAAGGAAGAAGAGAAAUUGUAGAUCAAGCAUCCCUUUCUGUCAAGAAUGGAAAUAGAAAUGGAAUCUAAUUCAAUAACUGGCAACUGCCACCAAACCCAAAUCACCCUCCUCCCUUUUUUAGUAUAAUGAUGCCAGGUUGACUCCUCGACACAAAAGAUAUGGAAACAAAGGCCAUGCCUUAAGGGUCAUCUUACUUCUACCUUAACCAUGAGAAUCCGGAUUUAAAUCAAUUCUCACCCGUGUCAACAAAAAAGUUUUACACAGGGUGAUGAAAAGCAUAUAAUAGAAAAUUCUGAUACCUGUCUCCUUUAAAUCUUUUUAUUUUUGUUUCAAAAAUAUUUAUUUUUUUAAUUUCUUUACUUUUCAAAUUUUAAAUUAAACAUAAUUUAUAACUAAAUAAAUAUUAUAAAUAUUUAUAUAUUUAUAAAGAUGAAAAUGAAAAAAAAUCGUUAAAAUAAUAUUUAUUUAAUAUUAUAUAUAAUUAUAAUUGAGCCAAUCUGAAACAAAAUCAUAAGCACAACCCUUAAAUUCAUUUCAAACUUGUUUAUAUUUAUUUCAACCUUGUCGAAUGGGUGUCAUGGAUACCUGAAAAAAUUGGCCUAUUGUUAUCCCUACUUCUACCCUCAAUUUGAUAUCCCUAUCUUUCCCAUACCAAAUAAAAAUAAAAUUUAACUAAUGCGUUUUUAUUUUGUCACAUGAUUCAAAUUAUUUUUCUAAUAUGAUAAGGUUUAACUUAUUAUACUCCUGUUUGAUGGGUUCAAAUUGAUCAAAACUUUUGAUAAUAGAGAAUAAAAACAUUUUAUACAUAUUUAUAACCCAAAAAUGGAUUAAUUAUUAUUAUUAUUAAGAAAAGACUAAGGAAGAAGAUGAGAAAAAGAAAAUAAUUUUAACAUUGAGAAAAAAAAUUAAAAGGGAAAACUUAAAUUAAGGUAUUUAUUUUACUAAAAAUGGGAAUGAUGGACAACAUUUUCAAUUUAGAAACUAAGAACGGAUUUUAAAAAAUAAAAUUUUAUUUUAAAUCAACUACUAAAAAUAGUUUUGUGGAUAUUAUUUACAAAGAAAAACUUAAAAGUAUUUUAAAAUUUUUCUCAAAAAAUCUAAAAACGCUUGAAAUUUAUAUUUGAAAAAAACAACAUAUUUUUAUUUAAAAUAAGAAAUUAAGAAUUGAAGAAGAGUUGUAAUAAUGAAAAUGAGGAUUAUUCUUAGAAUAUCGGAGCUCAAGGAAAACACAUUAAAAUAUACUAAACUAGUAGCGAUUAUGUACGCAAGUUGCGGGAGUCUUGAGUCUGUCUACCCUGCGGUGGUAUCUGUGGGCGAACGCCGAGGUCCCAGGACAAUCAGAGGAGUUUUACGACACCCUUUCUCCUGGAAACGCCCGGCUGACUCUGUGACGAAUGGUUAAUGGCGGGGAAGACGAGGAACGAGGCAAGCAGUAGCAGAAGUGGGGGCGGUGGGAGUAACAGAGGCGAAAGCGUGGUGGUGGAUGUGGGCAGGCGGAGAAGCACUUGUGGGUAUUGUAGAUCCGGUGCUCGCACCAGUAUUUCUCAUGGUCAGUGUCUCUGAUGAGUCCGAUCGCUUGGUCUCUCUGGGUUUGUUUUUGUUCUGCUGGGUUUUGGUUUUACCGAUUCAUUUCUUCAUUUUGAUUGACUGGUUGUUUCGUUUGUUUGAUUGACUGAUUGAUUAUUCUGUUGCUGGGGUUUUCGAUGGUGUCUGCUUGAAUUCUAUUUCAUGGUUCUGUUGGUUGAUUGAUAGGAAGGAGAUGAAUUCUGUUGCUGAACGUGUGAAUUGAAGUCAAUGAUCGGAUAUUAGUGUUUUCGAUUAUUAAAAUUGAGAUGGUUUUAAGGGGUUUGUGAAUUCAAUUAGUAUAGGAGCUUCUGAAACUUAUAGAUUCUACUCGCCCAAAGUAAGUAGAGCUUUGUUUUAGCUGUCAAUGUUGAGGGGUUCUGAAAGUCGGAUGGUAUUGAGGGGUUUUAUCCCCUCAAAGGGUGGUUCCAAUGUUGAACAACGGGUUGAAUUGUGUGUCGGGUUGGAUAGAUGGCGGUGAAGUUUGGUUCUUUGUUGAAAUGGUUCUUGUUUUUGUCUCAGUGAAAAUUCAUUGAAUUGUUUAACUCGAGUGGCAUCCUCGGGGCAAAACCCCAGGAUUGUAGUCCAUUUUCUUCUUUAAUGUGAUAUUAGCAUUUCUUAUGUUUUAGUUCAUUAGCCUGAAUUCCAAUGUUAUGUGGAAGGUUCCUGAUGAGGAUGAAUAUUCAAGAUAUAUAUCAAGAAAGGGAAUUAGUAUUAGUUGUAAUUAAAGUAGGAUUAUUAUUACUUGGAAUUAAAUUAGGAUUGGUAUUUGUUGGAGUCUAAUUAGGAUUAGCUAGUUGAGUUAUAAUAUAAUUAGAAUUUGAGUCAUGAUAGGUUAUUAGAGUCCUAGUAGAAUAGGUUAUUAGAGUCCUAGUAGACUUUGGAUUUCUUAGAGAAGCCUAUAAAUAGGCUAAUCAAUGUAAAUCAAAUAAAAUGAACUUUGAUGAAUAAUAUUAUACGUUCUUUCAUUGCAAGGUUGCAACCCUCAAUGGUGAGACUCCAUUGAUUUUCUUCUAGGUGAGACUCCUAGAAGGCCUUAGUGAGACUCUAAGGUUUUCCAUCUUUUCUUCAUUAUUUCUUCUUUCUCUCUAUUUCUUAUCUUAUAAUUUUCUCUACCAUAAAGUUUAUUCCUUGUUCCUCUCCUUACACCCUAAAAAUAAAACCCUAGCCCACCUACCCUUGAGUGUAGGCAACCAUCCUAGGGUUGUCCUACAUCAGUUCCCCAAUUAAUUAGAGCAAUUCUGAAAUGCUUAUAUAUAUAUAUAUAUAUAUAUAUAUAUAUAUAUAUAUAUAUAAUUCUCAAACACUAGCAUAAGUUCCACUGUUCUCUUUCUCUCUCCCUUACUCACACGCCUGUGCAUUCAUGUAAAAAUAUUCAUAUUAACUAUUUGAGGGCUAAAAAAAGGGUGAGUUCAUCUAUGAAAAGUUUAAAUUUCAUUUACAAAUGACUGACUGUUAGGACAUUGACCAGUGGAAGUAGUUGUUACACUUUUUUUUUUUUUUUCUUUUUUGGCUAUCCAUGUCUAUGUAUCAAUGCAAAUAAAAGUUUAGACAUCAAUUUUUUUCCCACUUGAUUUUGCAGGUUUAUGGGCACAUAGCAUUACAGUUGAUGACUACCAAGGUUGGCAACUUUAACUUCUUGAUAUAUCUUGUGAAAUUGACAAUUAUUAUGUGUGAUCACCAAAUAUGGAAAUUCCUAUAAUUGUUUGGAGAUGAGAUAUCAACAUACUUUAUCAGUCUUAGCCAGUGCAUUGGGGAAAUAAAGAUUUGGACAAUGGUAUAUGGAAUUCUUGGUCUACCUGACAACUGGAAUCAAAGUUUUGUCGUAUCUUGGAGAAAGUAGUUGAUAGUUGAAAUAUAAUAUGUGGACUUGGAGAAAGGUACAACUAGAUUCCAGUAAUUGAACAAAGAACCAUUCACUAAGAGGGUGUUUGGUAAAUCUACUUAAUAACUUAAUAUGGCUUAAUGACUUACUUCAAGUUAUUAAGCAUGUUUGGUGAAGUAACUUAAUAUUGUAACUUAAACUUAAAAAUGACUUUGAUUAAUCAAUUUAAUGACUUAAUACAACUUAAUAACUUGAACAUAAUUUAAUUUAAAGUCAUUUUAAGUUAUUAAACAUUAAGUAGUAAGUUUUAUCAAAUACCCUCUAAGUCACAAAAAUGUAAAUUAGUUGAAAUUAGCUGAGCUGCAAUGUUGAUCAGGCAAAUGCCCAUGGCAACUUUACAAGUUGUAGAACCUGAACUAAGGGGAUGUUGGAUAAAAUUAAAUCAAAUAAAAAGCAAUCAUGGUGAUGGAAGGGAAACGUUUUCAACCCAUGCUUGCAUAGUUGUUUAGCAUGGCGAAGCAAUUUUCUUUCUUUGCUGGUUUUACUGAGUCAUGUCUUUCUUUCUUUUCUUUCUGGCUAGGGUAAACUAGAGUAAUGCUGUUCUUUUUCUUUGUAAACAUGAUUUGUCGGCCUGGGCAAUUGCGAUGUUUAUAAAUCACUACUAUUUUCUUAUAGAGUUUUUGGUUUUCUUAGUUCUGUAACUAAGAUGGAGCAUUGGGAGAAAAAACUGUAGUAAGCGUCAAUUUAAAUGUUUUAUAGUUUUUUUUUGUGCUAUAAUUUAUUUUGAUUUUCCUAUUUCAACUUUAAUGCUCUGGAAGAUCUUCUUGACCGAGGUUGGAGAAGAUCUGGCUCAUUCCUUUACAAACCCGAGAUGGAAAGGACAUGCUGCCCUUCUUAUACUAUCCGUCUGAGAGCAGAUGAUUUUGUUCCUUCUAAAGAGCAGCUUCGAGUUUCUAAACGAAUGCAAAGGUAUUGUUAUGAAUACAUCCUAUUCCUUUCUUGUUUGUUGAAUUGGUUGUCAUAUUUUUAUGGAAUCACCUGAAAGACUGCAUUAUACCAUACUGAUGAGAUUGCUUUUUCACGUGGAAGUUGUAGGGCUAGCGUAGAUUGUGGGCUAGUUGAGACCACAUACUGAAUGUUUAAUGAAUUAGCCCCUUUAAUGUUGCCAGAUCAUUCUGAAUAUUAGCAAAAUGUAGUUCUGCUUUCUUCUGAAUUCAGUUCAUAUUGAGUACUAACAGCAGAAUUACUUUGCCUAGGUUUCAAGAUGGAACUUUGAGUGUGAAAAAACAAGAUAAAAUCAAUGAUGGGCCUAAAACUUCAAAGAGUUCAGGCAGCAGUAUCCAUCAUGAAGUUUCAGGCUCAGCAGCAAAGGGGACAUUGGCUGGUAAGGAUGAAGAGAAGAAUAAGGUGGAAGCAUUUAUGCAUUAUUUGUCAGACCAAAUUGAUAAUGCAGUAUGUGCAUGCACUGAAAGCGGGGAGUUCCUUUGUGACAUCCAAUUACCAAAAGCUUCUGUCAAAAUGGUUUUGCCAGCCAAAAGAAAACUACAAGUGGAAGGAUCAGAAGAUCUUUUAUACUCCAGCAACAUUUCAUUUCAGAUAGCAGCCACUUUAAGGAGGGCACAAUCAGCUGAGAAGGAUGUGCCCCAUUCAAAGUUGUCAAGACAUAAUGCGGAAGAAGAUGUGUCAUCUAUUGCAUUUUUACCAAAAACCAUUGCAGAAAAGUUGGCCAGUUCUUUAAAUCAUAUGGCGAAAGUCUCUGGUAUGUUGAUAAGAGCUUGCAAUGGGCACAUUAAUUUCUAUUCUGCUAGAAAAGGUAAUUUUCUGAGUGAAGGGAUUCAAAUAGUUAAUGGUGCUAAGGAAUCCCCCACUGGAAGUGGAAGUGAGGGAGGUUGUUUGAAGAAGAGCUCUGAAUGUCCUCAGGGUAAACGACGGAAGCUUGAAAUCCGUCUGAAAAGGUCCAGUUUUGAUCCAGAAGAAUUUGCCUUGUACAGAAGAUAUCAGAUUAAAGUGCACAAUGACACACCCGAGCAUGUCAUGGAAAGCUCAUACAGGAGAUUCCUUGUUGAUACUCCCUUAGUAUUUGUUCCACCAACUGGUGAUGACACGGUUCCCCCUUGUGGCUUUGGCUCUUUCCAUCAGCAAUAUGUGAUUGAUGGCCGGCUAGUUGCUGUUGGUGUCAUAGACAUCCUUCCUAGAUGUUUGUCAAGUAAAUAUUUAUUCUGGGACCCAGACCUAGCUUUUCUAUCACUAGGAAAGUACUCAGCCCUGCAAGAAAUAGGUUGGAUAAAAGAGAAUCAAGCUCAUUGUCCAAGCCUUGAAUACUAUUAUCUUGGCUAUUACAUUCACUCUUGCAGCAAGAUGAGAUAUAAAGCAGCAUAUCGCCCAUCUGAGCUUCUCUGUCCUCUUCGUUACCAGUAAGUUAUUUUUCUGUCCCUGGCAAUAGACUUAUGAUUUUAUUUUUCUGUAGCUAAUUUAUAUAAUCGACUAGCAUCCAAGUUCCGGGCUCAUGUAGUUAUGUACCCCAUACCUAGAGGCAAGGCACUUACUUAUGCAUCACUUACCAUGAAAUGGCCCCUGCUGGAGAAAAUUUAAAAUACCUGAUAAUCAUCAUGCUUGGACAACAUUGGACUCCCUAAUCAAAUUAUCCUUAUCUGGCAUUUCUCUUUUCAGGUGGGUUCCAUUUGAUAUUGCCAGGCCUUUACUUGAUAGGCAGCCAUAUGUUGUCUUGUCAGAUUUUGCUGUCUUACAAAAUGGAGAGUCCACACCACAUGUUCCUGAAAAUCUCAUGGAAAUGCAACAUAAUGGCCUUAAUGAAGAAGAUGCAAAUGACAUUGAUGAUGAAGAAAUGGACGAUGCUGAUUUUGUGAAUUCUGAUGAUGAAUCAGAUUCAGAAGCCAAUGGUCCAACAUCAGUUGAAAUAGAAGAUGGUGAUGUUAGUAAUGUUUUGAUUGGAUUGAAACGAUCCUGUGUGAGGUUCAAGGUAUGUUUACUCAAUCCUCUGAAACGAUCCUGUGUGAGGUUCAAGGCAUGUUUGCUCAAUGCUCUGAAGCAAGGUAAACCCAAAAGGGGAUGGAAAACAAAGAAAAAAUAGUUGGUUCUCUAUCUCUGUUGCAGUUCUUUUUUCUGGGGAUUCCAGUUUCUCCCAAGGAUGCCCCAUGCCAAAGUUCUGAUUAAUCAAACUGUUCCAGGGUUGGAAUUUGGAAAAUGGUCAUCUGGGCCAAUGUAGGAAGUCCACACUUGCUCCCCUCAUGUGUUACUAUUCAUUGACCUGCCUUGAAAAGAUUCAAAAUAUAAGAAAUGCUACAUAGUUCAAAACUUCCCUUUUUUCUCAUUUGUCACUGAUUUCAUUUUAAUCCUUUUGUUUGAAGGAUCUGCAACAUGCUUUUGGUCCCAGUGAACGUGCUUACUUGGAAACACAGUUGCGCAGAUACAUGAGGGCUGUGGGUGCUGAGGUCGCUGGUCGAAUGGUUUAUUCCCUGGGGUGACUGAUUCUGUUUCUCAGAAGUCAGAUGAAUAUUCCAGAGAGAUUUGAAUUGCUGUCCAAAUCAUCUGUGGUGAUCAAAUUGGAGCUGAAAGGAAACUGCUGCAGAGUUAUUCAUUUCUUGGAUUCAAAAUUAUUUUUAUUUGCUGGAUUAAAUGAACUGGGAUUUGGAUGAGUGGUCUGGACUCUGAAUUUUUUUGUAGAUACAGAUUACAGGAUACAUUCUCAUCCAUGUUGGGAAAAUAAACCUACUUUGCCCUUUUGAAAUGAAAAUGGAAUACAUCUCCAACAAGUUUUACCUUUUAAAUUUUUACGACUUCCAGCUCUUUGCAGAUGUCUGAUCCUUACAAUGUAGCCCACGUUAUAUUUGUAUUAGUUCAUAAUCCACAUAGCUUCGAGGAGCAUCUUUGCUGGAUACUUGCCAUAAGGAGAGCCAGUCUUUACUAAUUUUCCUAAAAACAUAAGCAUGGAUGUUCAUUGCCUUUAGAUUUCCAAUUAUUUCGAGGCCUUAUAUCAUGUUAAAUAACCAAUUUGUCUAAAACUUUAAGCUGUAAAGGGGACUUGAAGAAUGAGGUAUUUAGAAAUGCCUGACUACUCGCACAAAUCUCCCACUUGUCCAUUGCUGACAAAUUUUUAUUCACAACAAGCCAACCCAGCUUAAUCGAUCACGAGAGUCAACUCACAGCUAACUCUGCCUUGAGCAGUGAUCUUCCAAUUUACUUAAGCAAGUGGAUAAAUUAUAUUAAUUGGAAAUUAGGAGAGAUGUCCUCUGAAGGUGAACCCCUCAAUUUAAUAUAUUGUCAUCUACAUUCAUUGAAAUUUGAACCAGUUUCAUCAUGACUUCAUCGAAAACUAAGAAAAAGAAGUUUAAGUCGAUCAAUUUAUCAGCAAAGUUCAAGUUCGGCGGCAGAGCAUGGACCAAGAAAGAUUAGCCUUGUUUGUGUGUUAGAGAAUAUUUGGGGCUUGGUAAAGACAGUCAUGGCUACACCAAGAGCAAUAUCUACUACCAUCACAAACAUUUGUUAGGCUGAGGAUUAGGUAAUUAUUGGAUGCUUUCUUAGUAAGUUGAAAGCAAUCCAUAGUUUAAUAAUCAGAUAUUCAUAGUUACAGCCUAAUUGAUGUGAGUUUCACUUGAGAUAUGUUUGUGUGUCAAACACGAGUGACUGAUAAAAAGUCUGCAUUCAUUUUAUUGGGGCAAGCUGGGCAAGCCAGGAAAGCCACUCAAAUGAGAAAUUGCCAAUUCCAGAAUCCACGAGUCAAAUAAGAACAAUAGGGGUUCCAAGAAUGUACAUUUUGAAAUAAAGGUUAAUCAUGCGUCAUCUGCAUCACUUCCACCAACAUGAGCUUCUGGAGUGAUCCAGUAGUUGCUUCCAUCAGGACCCGAGACCUUAAACCUGUCCCAUCAGCAAUACACCCAUCUCAAACACUUCAAUUUAGUUUUAUCGUAUCAGGAACAGAUUUUCCUAAAAAUGAGUCUACAUACCGUUCAAGGACAGACUUUCCUUCUUUGUACUUCUGGGCCUUUUCAUGGGCAGUCUCCUGAAAGAAAUCAUUCAAAUAACAAACGGCUACAUUUUGAGAACAUACACAAUUCAUGUUUUAUUUUUGCUUUUGUUUUUUCAAAUAGAUCUUACAUAUCUCCAUCCCACAAUGGAUCCACACCCAACACAGAAUAUGUCAGCAACAGUGUGCAUUCCUGUCAUCAUCAUCCUCUCUUCAUGCACUCCAACAGAGACAUUCACACUGUAAAACAAUGGGAAUCAAGCUCCUAAAUCUGUAAGCAUGUAGACACAAAUAACCCUUUUCUAAUAUGUAAAAACCUCUGUAUGUAACUUGGAACUUGACUUAAUUGCAUCCAUGACAAUCCCUGCUCAUAUUUAGGUCAUCCGGUUAAUUUUAUUACCUGCAGUUCCCAUCAAACUCAUCUCUCCUGUCCUGUUCAGAUAUUUAUAUACAGACUGCAAACAGCAGACUGCUUGAAAGAAUGAUGCCUUAGGGCAACCAGUGGCUAUUCUCUUGCUAUAUGGUCAACAAAUAUUCACAUUACUUCAAAGAAAUUCACAACCUUUUGAAGCUGCAAUAAACUAAAUUUAUCAUUGCACACAAAAACAUAUGAAGUAUGUAGGAAACUAGCAUGUGAAUCUUCAAAUGGAUAGGUACACCGUGAGAAAGAGAUUACUAGCUGAAUUUCAUUGAAAUGUGCAUGCAUAAACAGUAAACUUUUUCAAUGGCAUUACGUUUCACUACCAUUUUAUCACACUGACAAACAUUAGGGUUUUCUGUUCCAUAUAAAGUUGCUCCCAGAAAGUGAUAUUCGGUAUUGACAUAUAAGAAUGGGGUGGCUAAUUAAGGAAAACUUACACCUUAUUGAAGAGAUAAGCUUUUCCAUGCCUGCAGUGGAAAGACUGAAUAAAAGAACACAGGCAAAACAUGCUGUCAGAAUUUUUACUUCCCAAAGACUCCAAUUAACACGCACUGGAGACUGAAAAUGGCAAAAAGAAUGAAAAAUGUAGUAUAAAAAGAACUUCCAAUGAAAACAAUCAUGGAAAUAUAUCCCCAAUAUCACCCCGACCAAGGCCCUUGAAAUUAAAAACAUCAAUAUGCGAGAAGUUUCCUUCUAAUGGGCCCAGGCAAUGGACAGGUCUGUGGUAGAUCAAGUUUAUACAUGGAAAUGUGCAUCCAAUUACAAGGAAAAGAAAUCAUGAUCAAGACGAUAAAAUUUUUUUACGAUAAGAAGAAAAAAACUCAGUGGAAUUCCCAUUGGACUAUUUUGUGCAAAUAAGCUUCCCUGAGUAUGAGGAAAACAUGCAAGUCUUUUUAGGCAAUAAGUCCUUCAAAAAUUAUUAAAAUGCUGGGGCAGUCUUUUCAAUACCAAGGUUUUCAAGUGUACUUGUUCAACAUUAGAGAUCCAAACACAAGGCAUGAACAACAAAUUGACUCAGCAUUGCCCUAACUACUCAGUUUUUGGUAUUAAUGGAGAAUGCCACUGGUCUCCACAGGACCGCAACUUUUCACUUUUCUCACAAUAAAAAGAAAGCACGUUUCAAUGAAUAGCUUUCAUCAUUUCUUCAACAAUUUUCAAGGUCAUAAAAAAAGGUAACAACUCUAAUCUCUAACCCGGUUGAAACGGAAACAUCAAUUCUGUAUUGGAGACCUAGAGAAAAAUCAAGACUAAGUAAUUGAAACAAGAUGAUAACAUCCAAAAAUCACCAAAAGAACAGAGCUAUGACAUCCAAUUAGCUUUCGAGUCAAAGAGUUUCAUCACUAGCCCUGGGAACUAACAACAGACAACACAAAUUUUUUCAUGAAAAUUAACACAAAAGAAUUACUAGAUCUUAAAAACAACUCAAUCACACCAUAAUGGAGCAAUUAAAAUGAGAAUUUGCCAUAAAAAAAACGAGAAAACCCUAAAUGGGGUAUCCUCAGUUUUUUCAUUUCUGAAAUGGUAAAGAAGGGAUCCUCCAAUGAGGCAUCAUAAACGCUCUCGAGGCAAUAAUCCAAAAGAAAACAGAACCCCUGGCCAGAUCCCCCUCUGAAACAAUCUGCAGAAUUACAAAGAAAAACCCAAAAGCCCUUCAUUCAUCAUAUGGAUCUUCCUUCAAUUCUUCAUCACCAACAAAAAAAUCCUAUCACACCAAACAAAAUUCCCAAAACCCAACAUCUCAAUUCUCAGAACCACAAAUGGCACGCCUACCCAUCAUCAACAACACCCGCAAAAUCAGAACCCAACAAAAACUAGACAAAACAAACAAAGUCAACAAAACCCAACAGAAAAUUUCACAAGACUGAAACAACAAUCCAACUGGGCAAGGAUUUAGGAAGAGAAAAACAACCUUAGAGACGAUGUCCUCACUGAGAGCAAGAUGGGUCCGGCAGUGCUUGCAGCUGUAGAUCUUGCCCUCAAGACUAACCACAAAAAGCCUCCCCAUUUCUCAAUCCACCCACAAUAAUCUACGUGAAGAUGUGGAAGAAGAACCCAACAAAUCAAAGAAUUAGAUGAGAUUUCAGAAAAAAUACGAACAACAAGAUUGGUAAAGGGUGCGAAGAAAUGUGUUGAAUUGUGUGGGAAGUGACGUGAAGGAAUAGGAGAGAGAUGCCUAAGAGAAUCGUUGAAGAUUACCUGAUGAUGCUGCACUGCACUCACAAGAAGGCAAAAAAAAAAAAAAGCUCACAAAUAUAAAACCCAAUUGCCAAUUAUUAUUUGAAUCACCUUUUUCUCUGCAAAAGGGCAACCUGACAAGACGUGUAAUCUUAUAAAAAGAUGAUAGUAUUGCAAGGUAUUAAGAAAUUAAAUUUGUUUUAAAUCUUAUACACGAUAUUGAAAGUUUGAAACACAGGGUAGAUUUGCUCUUUUUUCUUUAAAUAGUUUUUUACGAACAAAACUUUAUUUCAAUAAUUAAAAUAUUUUUAAUAUAUUUAAAAAUAAUAAAGUAAACAAAAAUUUAAAAAACAAUUUUGUAUUAUCAAAUAUAUUUUCCUUUUUCUUAUUUUUUGGAAAAUAAAAAAAAAAUUGUUAUGGGAAAUUAUUGUGACGUGUCUUCUUAACUUUUUGACCAAAAAAAAAAAAGCAUACCACAAAUACCAUCAUUUUCAUUAUAUGAUUAAGUUUAUUAUUUAAUGAUAUGGCAAAUGAUAAUGGGAUUUUAUAAAAAAUAGGGAAACAUCAACUCACUCAUCUAUUGAAGUGGUUAAAGUGGUGUUGAAAUCGAUGAUAUGCUAGUAUUUUCUUUAAAAUAAAAAUAUAUUAAAUAAUCAAUAAAAUGUGAGAAAAAAAAUGAUGGAUGUUUGACCUCAUCCAUAGGAACUAUGCAAAUGAUUUCCCCUUGUGGGUUAGGUAAUAAUAUUAAAAAUAAGAGUGAGACUUGAGACAUAAUAAUUAUUGUCUUAUUGCCUACCCUUCUUUGAUUCUUUUUACCUCAGGCCCAUCAAAAGUAAUGUUUUCCCAUAAUUUUUUAUUAUUGAAUUACUCACUAAUAUAUAUUUGUUUAUUUUAGAUGUCUUCAAAAAAAAAAAAAAUGAAAAAAAUAAAAUAAAAAAUCAUACCCAAUCCUAAUCCAUUCGAUUCUCAAGCUAUUGUAAUAUAGAAGGUUGUGAAAAUUUGGGAGGAGUUUGAAUUUAUUUAUUUUUUCCUUUUUGGGCUCUAUUGGAGCAUGGAGAGGCAAUGACGUCAGCACACCUUGUUUUCAGGUUAAAAUACCCUGCCUUCAUAUUAAUGGGCAGCCCACCACACAAGUUGGAAGAAAAUAAUUCAGAGUGGGCCAAGCAUUAUUAAUUAGGGCCUCUAUUGAUUAUUUUUGGUAUUUUUAUCACCUUGCAUGGACCACUACUUUACUCAUAUUUAGAAAUUUAUUCUCACUCUCAACUCAGGUGAUAUUUAGUUUUUUUUAGAAUUUUAAUAUUUAAUAGUAUUAAAUAUUAGAUUGUUUAUUUUUUAUAAUAUUUUAUUUAUAUUAAUUAUUAAAUAUUAAAAAAUUAAGAAAAAUCAAUAUAUUACUUUUUCUAUUUAGAAAAAGUUAAAUAUUUUUGUUUUUUCUAUUUAACAAAAAAUUUAUAAUAAGUUAUAAAAAAAUGGAAAAACAAACAACCUAAAAUUUAAAAGCAAGUUAUUUUUUCAAUAAAAAGUUUAAAAAAAAAACAAAUACCCUCUAAAACUUUUUAUACUAUAUUUGGUUUCUCAAAACUAUUAAAAAAAAUUAAAAUUUACAAAAGUAAUUAUUUUUUUCUUAAUUUAAAGUUAGCUAGCAUGAAAAAAGAAAAAGGAAAUAAAAUAUUAAAGAAAAUAGUAUAAAACAAAAAUAAAGGCCAGAAAAGUAUAUUCCUUAAUAAUUUAGUUACUUUCUCUAUAAUCAAAUAAGUGAAAAAAACUAUUAUUAUUUUUUAUUUUUUAUUUCAUUAUAUUUUCUUUCUCUCAAACUUUUUGAACCAAAUAUAAUAAAAUAAUUCUUCUUAUUUUUCUUUAAAAAAAAUGAAAAAUCCAUUUUUUUGACAUUCCUUUCUUAACUUUUUUUUGUGGACAAUAGAACAAGAGAUUUUAUUAUUUAUUUAUUUAUUUAUUUUUAUCUUUUUCCUUUAUAUAUAUAUAUAUAUAUAACUUAAAAAACAACCUUUGAAGGUGUUUGAUAAUUUUAUUAAGAGUGUUCAACUAAACUAAAUGUCCAAAUCAUAUAAUAAACAUGUAGACCUUUUCAACUCCUUAGCGAAAGAAUUUAUUUAACAUUUAGGAACGAUUAAAAACAAAGUAUGAUUUUUGUAAUUUACCCAAAAACAAAAUAAAGCAACGUAUCCAAAUGGGCCAAAGACAACGUCCAUGGGCCUUGGAAAGCUAGGGGUGGAGCCCAAAAAUCAAAUUAUGCGGAAGUAGAACAAGUGAAAGAGAGUGGUGGAAUGACCCAUCAAAACUAUUGUAGCCCAUGGACUAAUGAUGGUCCUCAUCUUCAUAUCACCAUCAUUAUGAUUCAUAACAUGGCCAAAACACCUGUCCAAACAUCGCACUCCACGUCAACCCUUUUCACAAGUAGGUGGUGAUUAAGAACCUUAGUUUAUUGAAUUUUUUUUUAUAAAGCAUUCUGUGGUUGAUUACGUAGGGGAUUGCCUCCUUUGAUCACUCAAUAAGCUUGAUUUAGUUGGAUUUUUUUCAUCUCUAAAAGAUUAGUUCUCAUUAUUUUUUUUGUCUCCAGGCUUUAGUUCCUAACUCAUCUGGUGUAAAAAAGAGUGGUUCCAUUGAUUUUAAGAAAAGAAAUUAACCAACCCGAUUAAUAUGAUUGGUUUAUACUUGAUCAAAAUUGAACCGAUAAAAAAAAAAAGAGCCAAAUCAAGCUUAUUAAAGAUUGGAUUGAUUUGGUUUAAAUCAUCAAUCGAAUGCAAGUUAGUUUAGACCUUUAAGUCAAAUCUAUUUUGAAAAGUUACUAAUCCAACCAAAUGAAGGAAAAACCAAAAGGUGACUGAAAACAAAGAACAAAUAGUUGGUUCACUACUCUGUUGCAUUUGUUUUUUCCGGGAAUUCCAGCUUCUCCCCAAAUAUGCUCCACUCAAACGUUGUGCAUUGAAUUAAGUAGGAUUUAGAUGAAUUGUCUGGACUCUGAAUUUUUUUUUUUUUGUUUUGUAGAUACAGAUUACAGGAUACACUUUGACAUUUUCAUCCAUGUUGGGAAACUUUAACUUACUUUUUGCCCUCUGAAAUGGAAAUGGUAUAAAUCUCCAACAACUUUACCCUUUAAAUUUUUACAACACAGAUCUUUGCAUGUCUGAUUCCUUGGAAUAUAGCCCACAUUAUAUUUGUAUUAGUUCAUAAUCCACAUAGCUUCAAAGAGCAAGUUAACUGUAUACACCCACAGGGAGGCAUAAGAUUAAACAACUAAUUUUCCUAAAAACAUAAGCAUGCCGUCACACACCCAUAUCACAUAUCUAAUUAAUUGGCAGUUUGAUAUCAUAUUAAAUAAUCAAUUUUCCUAAAAAUUUAAGCUGUUAGAAUUUGGGCUCAAAAUAUAGGACGAAAAACACGAGCCAUAGUAACAGCAGACGAAUCAUUUUCUUUUUCUUUUUUUCCUUGUAAUCACAGUAAUAAGAUAGAUAAAUGGAUGAGGGAGGACUCAAAGAUUGAAGACUUCAUCUUUAGUCGAUCUUGCAACAGUUCAUAUCAAGCCAACCAGCUUAAUCACAGCAGUCAACUCAUACCUAACUCUGCUUUGAGCAGUGAUUUUCACAAUUUAUUUAAGCAAGUGGAUGAAUUAUAUCAAUUGGAAAUUAGGAGAGAUGUAUUCUGAAGGUGAACCCCUCAAUUUAAUAAGCUCUCAUCUACAUCAAUCCAACCAGUUCCACCACCACUUCAUUAAAAACUAGGAAAAAUAUGUUCAAGUCAAUCAAUUUAUCUGCAAAGUUCCAAGUUUGGUGGCAGAGCAUUGACCAAGAAAAGAUGAACCUUGUAUGCGUGGUAGCAAAUUAUUGGGGUUUGGCAAAGACAGCCAUAGCUGCACCAAGAGCAAUAUCUAACAUCACAAGUAUUUGUUAAGACUGAGGAUUAGGUAAUAGCUGGAUGCUUUGUUUAGUAAGUUGAAAGCAACCCAUCUUUUAAAAAUCAGAUAUUCACUGCUAUAGCCUAAUUGAUGUGAGUUUUACUUGAUGCUAAUUCAUCCUUCAAAUUGCAAACCAAGCCUUAAGGUAUGCUUGUAAAUCAACUACCAGAAUGAACAAUAUAAAGCCUGCAUCCAUUUUAUUAGGUCAAGCUGAGCACAAGCCAGGAAAACCACUGAAAUGAGAAAUUGCCAAUUCCAGAAUCCAAGAGUCAAAUAAAAAUGGUAGGGGUUAAAAGAACGUACAUUUUAAAAUAAAGAUCAAUCAAGCGUCAUCUGCAUCACUUCCGUAGUUGCUUCCGUCAGGGCCCGAUAUCUUAAUCCUGUUCAUCAGCAAUGGACAGCCAUCUCAAACACUUUCCACAAAACAGCUUUUCCUAAAAACGAGUCUACUCACCGUUGAAGGACAGACUUUCCUUCUUUGUACUUCUGGGCCUUUUCAUGGGCAGUCUCCUGAAAGAAAUCAUCCUAAUCAGUAACAGCUAUAUUUUUAGAACAUACACAAUUCAUGUUCUAUUUUUUUAAAAAUGUCUCCUGAUCUUACGUAUCUCCAUCCUACAAUGGAUCCACACCCAACACAGAAAAUGUCAGCAACAGUGUACAUUCCUGUCAUCAUCAUCUUCUCUUCAUGCACUCCAACAGAGAUAUUCACACUGAAUGGGAAUCAAACUUUUAAAUCUGUAAGCACAUAGACACAUAUAACCCUCUUUUAUAUGUAAAAUUUCUAUAUAUAACUUAAACUUCACUUAUUUGCAUCCAUGGCAAUCCCUGUUCAUAUUUAGGUCAAUUUUGAUGGGCAACCAAUGGCUAUUCUCUUGUUAUAUGAUAAACAAAUAUUUACCUUAUUCCAAAGAAAUUCACAACGCUGCAACAAACUAAAUUUAUUGUUGUGUACAAAAACAUAUGAUGUAUAUAACUAGCAUGUGAAUCUUCAAAUGGAGAGGUACACAUGUGAAUCCUACUAGCCUAAUUUCAUCGAAAUACCAUAUAUAAACAGUAAAAUUUUUCAAUGGCAUUUAAACAGUAAACUUUUUCAAUCAUUUGUGUUUCUGUUCCAUAUAAAGUUGCUCCCAGAAAGUGAUAUCCGGCAUUAACAUAUGAGAAUGUGGUAUCUAAAAUCAAGGAAAACUUACACUUUAUUGAAGAGAUAAGCUUUUCCAUUCACGGUGUGGAAAGACUGAAUUAAAGAACACGAGAAAUAUUUUGUCAGAAUUUUUACUUCCCAAAGACUCUAAUUAACAUGCAUUGGAGACUGAAAAAUCAAAAUCAAAAUAAGAAACAUAAAAAAUAUGGAAUCAAAAGAACUUUCAAUAAAAACAAUCAUCGAAAUACUCUCCAAUAUCACCACCACACCACUACCAAGGCCUCAACUUAAGCCUGCCUUUGAAAUAAUCAAAAUAGAUAUGUAAGAAGUUUCCUUCUAAUAACCCCAGGCACUGGACAUGUUUGUGCUAGAUGAAGUCUAAACAUGGAAAUAAGCAACCAAUCACAAGGAAAAAAGAAAUCAUGAUCAAGAGAAUAAAAAAAAGUUUAAAAUAAGAAGGAAGAAACUGGGUAGAAUUCCCAGUUCUUUAUUUUGUAAGAAUAAACUUCUCUGAAUUUAAGGAAAUUAUGCAAGUUGGCAAGAAGUUCUUUGAGAAUUAUUAAAAUGUUGCGAGAGUCAUUUCAAUGCCAAGGUAUUCAAGAGUACUUAUUCACCUUUAGAGAUCCAAACACAGAACAAAUACAACAAAUUGACUCAGCAUUGCCUGAACUACUUGGUUUGCUGUGUUGAUGGAAGAUGCAGCCAUUCUCCAUGAGACCACAGCUUUUCAUUUUUCUCACAAUAAAAAGAAACCACGCUUCAAUGAAUUGCUUUUACUGUUUCUUCAACAAUGUUCAAGGUCAUAAAGAUGGGUAAACCUCUAAUCUCUAACCCAGUUAAAAACGGAAAAAUCAAUUCCAUCUUGGAGACCUAGAAAGAAAUCAGGAUUUAGUAAUUCAAACAAGAUGAUGACAUCCAAAAGUCACCAAAACAACACAGCUAUGACAUCCAAUUAGCUUUCAAGUCAAAGAGUUUCAUCACUAGUCAAGGGAACAAACAACAGAAAACACAAAUUUUUUUCAUGAAAAUUAACACAAAGGAAUUACUAUGGAAAAAACUCAAUCAUGCCAUGAUGGAGUAAUUAAAUGAGAAUUUGCUAUAAAAAAGGAGGAAACCCUAAAUGGGGUAUCCUCAGUUUUUUCAUUUCUGAAAUGGUGAAGAAGGGAUUGACCGCUGAGGCAUCAGAAACUCUCCCAAGGCAACAAUCCUAAAGAAAAAAGAACUCCUGACCAGGUCUCCCUCUGAAACCAUCCACAGAAUUACAAAGAAAAACCCAAAAGCUCUUCAUUCAUCAUAUGGAUCUUCCUUUAAGUCUUCAUCACUAAGAAAGAAAUCCUAUCACGACAACCAAAAUUCCUGAAUUCACCAUCUCAAUUCUCAGCACCACAAAUGACAAACCAACUCAUCAUCAACAAUGCCCACAAAAACAGAACCUACACACUAUCCCAACAAAAACUAUACAAAACAAACAAAAUCAACAAAACACAACUGAAAAUUUCAAAAAACUGAAACAUCAAUCCAAUUGCUCAAGGAUUUAGGAAGACAAAAACAACCUUGGAAAUGAUGUCCUCACUGAGAGCAAGAUGGGUCCGGCAGUGCUUGCAGCUGUAGAUCUUGCCCUCAAGAUUGACCACACUCCCCAUUUCUCAAUCCACCCACAACAAUCUAUGUGAAGAUGUGGAUGCAGAACCCAACAAAUUAAAAAUUAGAUAAGUUUUCAGAAAUAAAAAUAAAAAUAACAAGAUUGGUAAAGGGUGUGAAAGAAUGUGUUGAAUUGUGUGGGAAGUGAUGUGAAGCAAUAGAAGAUUCCAAAGGGAAUUGUUGAAGAAUACCGGGUGAUGCUGCUGCACUGCACUUGAGAAGAAAAAUAUAUACAGAGAAAAGCUCUCAGCUCUCAAAUAAACAACCCAAUUGCUAAUAUAUAACCUUUUCUCUGCAAAAGGACAACCUGACAAGAAGUGUACACUAUGGCUUUUUUUCCUUAUUUUAUUAGGGAAAUUAUGCAACCAUACCUUGUUCAAAAAAAUGCAAUAUUUGUAUAGGUGAUCACAAAUGUAUUAAAAGCAUCUACCCAAAGGGUGCACAAAAGUGCACACGGUGUAUAAAAGGUGCUAAAGGCCAAAAAUGCAAAGGGGAACACAAGAAACAACACCCUCACCUUACUUUCAACUCAACCAAACAAUAAGGUCAAACAAAAAUAAGGAGUUAUCUCCUAUGUGCUCCUUAACCCAAUCCAAGAACAUGUACAUAAAAGAUUAUUUAAUUGCUUAAUUCGCUUUCAUGGUGUUUUAAAAAAAGCUCUCCUAUUUCUCUCCUUCUAUAAGGUCCAAAAUAAACAUAAAGGAGUUGCUCUUCACGCUUUCUUUCUUUUCUUUCCCACAAAAGAUCCAUGUCAACUAAGAAGUACAUCUUUAAUUGAGGGCAUCACUCACCGAACGUCGAACAAAGCAAAAAUUAACUACCAUAGCAUGACUGUUUUGGAACAAUGAAGGAGGAUAUGACUGCUUUAAAGAGACUCAUUUUUUAUGAACCCAAAGAUUCCCUUUUCAUAACAAGUGGACAAUAUGAUGAAAGGAUUCCUUAAACUGCAGUCCAAACAGGAACCUGUAUAUAAUUUGCAAUUGCCUCUUCUUAUUUAAGUAGUUUGCCACACAAUCAGGCUUAUGUCAUCCAAGUUGAAAUAUUCACAUAACCCAUUGCCACAUAAGACAAUGCUGCAUGAGCGAUCCAUGUUGGAUUGAAAUGUAAAAAUGAGAAAAAUAAAUGAAAAGAUGAAAAAAAAAAAAAAGAACAAAAAAACCCUAACCCCAAAUGAAAAAGGCGAGGGCUUGCAAAUAUAGACAACAAUCAAAUGUGAGAAAGUAAAAUGGUUAGUGGAUGUUAAGGAUCACUGAAAGUAAACAGGUCGUUGGUGUGUUGUGUUUAAGGAACGGAAUAGACUACUUUAAUUCCUAGAGGUGAGAGAUAACAAAUAUAGAAAAAUUUUGAAACAGUCCAAUUUCCUUAGGGGACAGGGCCAUGCCCUCAUAUAAGGGGUCGGCUCUUAUAUUGCAUUCUGCCAACAUCAAAUUAUGCUAUUUACAAAUGGUGGACUGACCAGCCUCGAAAUGCAAGGGCCGGCCCUAAUAAUGUGUACUGCCUACAUCCAGUUAGGGCAAUGCAGAGUGCGAUGGGCAAACCUAUGCAAACAAGGGCCGGCCCCCAUAUUGGCUAAUUCCAACAAUAAAUAAGAUCAAUGUGGAAAGAAAGGGGACAACAUCUCCAUCAAUUGAUAACAACUCGGUUUUCAAAUGUGGCCAUCGUUUUAAAGGAUGAUGUGAAUACUUAAUGUUCCAGUCUUCAACUUACAUAGCAUUUCAAAAUUAUGGCAGUUGAAUAAACACUAGUUGAGUAUGUGGCUGUCGUUUUAAAACCCUAGUUCCUCAAGCAGCAUUGAAAACCCUAAUUCUACAACAAUUGAUGUAUAUCCAGAAGCAUAAAUGAAAAAAAAAAAAAAUCAGAAAUGAAGAUAUUAAAGAUCUUUCAAACAUUUUCAGAAACAAAUCACACAUCUUCAACAUUGAGAAAUAAAUACGAAGAGAGAAAUUUACCAGUACAAAACCUACAGAUAAGAUGAUCAUUCGGGCGCUCUCUCUCUUUCAAGUCUCAUGCAAUUUUUGCAAGCUCUCUCUCUCCUCCUCGGAAGCGGAGGCCGACAAUGAUGUAGGAGGGCAUAGCAGCAUGCGGCGGCGGCGGCAGCCGGCGGUGAAGGGAGGGUUCGUGGAGUAGAAUGGAUUCCAGAUCCCAUCGAAUGGAGUACCAGGUUGGGCUGGAUUAGGGCGCGCAGCUGAAGUCUGGCGUGGAGUGUCAGCAUACAAGCUGGGGCGAGGGAAGCUUGGAGAUUGGAGUCUGGGUUUUUUCGUUUAUUUUUUCUGUCAAUCAUGGAUAGAUUACGUGGCAUAAUCUUACCUGGCAAUGGCUUCCGUGGCCAUUCCAACUCGGGCUGAAAUGCGCAAGGGGCAAUUGCGGAAUUAUAUACCGACUUAAAUAAAUCAUUUGAAUAGAUCAAUUUCUUUCCUCCCGAGUUGUAGAAUAGUCAGCGGUGUCAAAUCCUCUUGUUUUCAAGUCAUAAUACUCCGGCUUUAUGUUAAUGGGCAGCCCACGCAGCCCACCACACAAGUUGGGACUUGGAAGAAAGUAAUUGGGAGUGGGCCAAGCAUUAUUAAUUAGAGUCUCUACUGCUAUUUUUAUCACCUGGGGGCUGGGUUGGACGACGACUCUAAUAUUAUUCCUUUAGAAUAUUGUGAUAUUGGCUUCAACUUAAAUUUUUAUGUAAAUUAUGAAAGUCAUUUCUAUACUUUCACUCAUUCAAACCCUUUUUUUUUUCUUAAAUAAGAAUAAUCCGAAGAUAUAACCAAAUGUUAAAUAUGUUAUAUUAAAUAACAAUUUCUGGUAUAAUUUUUUACUUGAAAUUAAUAAAUAAAAAAAUUAUAUGAUUUGGGCAUGUGGACAUUACAUAUGAUUUUUCACAUGGAAAAAAAAAAUUAGGGUUAUGUACUUAUGAGCUCUUUUUUACAUGUAUAUGUAUUUUAAAGUUAGAUUUAUAAUUUAUCCAAAUGGGCCAAAGACAAAGCCCAUGGACAUGGCAAGUUAGGAGUGCAGCCCAACAAUCAAAUCAUGUAGAGGUAGAAUGAGCCAUCAACCAGCUCUUAAGUCUUACCUUUCCUAAAUUAAAGUAGGGUAUGGAUUAAUGAUAGUGCUCAUCUCCAUAUCACCAUCAUUAUGACUCAUAAUACAGCCAAACACCCCACAUCAACCUUUUUCACCGGUAGGUGGUGAUUUAUAGCCUUGGUUAUUGAAAAUCUUUUUAGGUAUUCUAUAGUUGAGUGAUGUAGGGGAUUUUGUCCCCACCCAAGGAUCCUAUCUAAUGCCUCGUUGGAUCACUCUUUAUAUAUCUUCGUUAUUUUAUUUUAUUUUAUGCCCACAAGUUUUUGUUAUGGACUCUACCUGAGUUGUGCCAUUGAUUUUUCAAGAAAAAAUUAGUUAAAUUAAUCAAUAUAAUUUGUUAAUACUUGAAUUAAAAUUUAAUUAAUUGAAUCUAUUUUAUAAUGAUUCUAAAUUUUUUAUUUCUUAAAUAUUAAAAAAGAUUAUAAAUCAUUUUAGGUUUAUUUAAUUUCGAUUACUGAUCAAUUUUAAUUGAGUUAGAGUAGUUUUUAUCAAUUUGAUUUUUACUUCCAUCCCUACCUCAUUUAAUAAUUUUUUUUGUGAGAAUUUUUUAAAUACUAAAAAUAAUAUUCAAAUAAAAUUCUUAAUAAUGGAUUCUACCUUUUUUUUAUCAAUGUUUUGAAAAAGGAAGUCCUCCAAAAAAUUAAUAUGAAAAACAUAUUUUUAUUUAAAUAAAAACGUUUAAAAACAUAAUGUUUAAAUAUAAAUUUCAAUAGCUUCUUCUAAGUUAUAUUUCUAAGUUCUCUACUACCCAUCUAAAAUUCCAUUUAUGACCUCAUGGUUAAAAAAAAAAAAAAUUUUCUUGCAUGUUUUGACCGUUUCUACAGUAUAUAUAUAUAUAUAUAAUAUUAAUGUUAUUUAAAAAUAAUUAUUUAUUUUAAAAUUUAUAAAAAUAUAUAUUUAAAAUGAUUUUUAAAACUAUAUUUAAUUUAAUUUUUUUUUUUGAAACAUUGGAUGUUUAUCCAAAAAUCAAGAUAGAACUAAAAAGUGAAGCAACACAUCCUUAGAGUGCCAUGUAUGAGAUUGUAUGAUAAAAAUAAAAUAUAAGCUAUUAAAACGUGUUAUAGUAAGCUAUCAAUUUCCGUCUUAAUAUAAAUUAUUUGAUACACUUAAACUAAACGCUACACAAAUUUUUUUUAGCAUAUUUUGAAGAUAAAAUUUUUAGUAAUAUGUUACAGUAGUGGCCAUUUUGUACAAGUUGUUGAUUUUUCUUUUCUUGACUCGGAGUACCAAGGAUGAAUAGGUAAUUUUAAAUUUUAAUUAAUUUUAAGUAUUAACAAACUCAACAUUGCCCAUAUUCCUUUAUUCCUUAACGCAUCACAUCAAAAUCCUAUUGACUUUCAACAAAUUGAAUCACUUAUGACAAACAUAUAUGCAACCUUUUUUACAUUUUUAAUCAAAAUUUACUUGCUCUAGAUUUGCUUUCAAAUGUCAAUGGUUCAGGUAGAGAUGAUAAUUGGACGGGUUUUACGAGGUACCCAUUCUCAUCCCACCUCACCCCUAAUAGUAGAACGAGUUGAAAUUAAAAAGAACAAGUUAAAAAUUGAUUUUAAAUUGCUUUUUGAAACUUAAGAUGGUUUUAAGUUCCCACACCUUCUCACAUUGAUUAUGUAUAUAAUUAAGUUUUAAAAAUUUUAAUUUCAUAAUUUUAACACAUAUAAAAUAAUAAUAAAAAUAUAAUUUUAAAUAAAAUAAAUUAUACAAAUUAUAAUAUUUCAUUUAUUUAUAAAAUAUAUUUAUUUUUAAUGUAGUUUAAAAUUUUUUUAAAAUAAAAACAGGACCAAGCAAAGUGUUGUACCCACUCAGUCAUGUUUAAUUUUUUUUUUUUAAAAAUAGAGACGGACAGUCAUUUAUAUAAAUGAUAUUAGAUUGAGAUGAAGUGACUCGUAUUAAAUCUAUCAUAUUGUCAUUUUUAAAUUUAAAUUUUUAAUUUUUAUAAAUCAAAAUUUAUUUUUAAAUUAUUAUUUAAAACUUAAAUCUUUUCUAAUUAGUGAUUUUAAGAACAUAAUUACCAAAGCAAUUGGUAUAGUAACAAAUUUUUUUAGGGGACUUUUAUCGUCUAUUUAAUUGAAAUUAUCACAGAAAGAAAGUUUAUUGAUAAGAACUAAGAAGGCAAUAAAAUUGGUCUCAUGAAAACAACAAACGUGUCGUCGUCGGAGGGCGCUAAAACCGCCACGUGUAGUCUCACCGGACGCCUCACAAAUAUCUUCUCCUGCCCUGUGCCAGCGUACGGGAUACUGUGCCAGCAGAUGCCUCCUUAACCGGCUAUAGCAGGUCACCAACUUUAUCGCAAGGUCACCCUUGUGGUCUCAAAUCUACGCCUUCACCGCCUCCUCCGGUCACCCAAUAAAUUCCACCUCCACCACCCAGUCGACUCGUACACAGAUUCUCUCCGCUUUAUUGUUUUCGUCUUCAACACCUUUACUCUGUUCUCUCCUCACAGCUGUUCCCUUCAUUUCUCUCCUACUAGGGUAUGGAAUUUAUUAUUUUAAGUUUCGAUCCUUGUUUUCGCUUGUUUUGACUUCUGUUUUUUAUUAUUUGUGUUUUUUGAGCUUAAAUUUCUGGUAUCUGUGAAUUUUUGUACAAUUUUGUGGAAUUUGUUGGCUUUGUUCUUGUUUGGUAGGCUCGAUUGAUGAAUUUCUGCUAGUUUCUUUUAUUUUCUCAGGUCGUUCUGAUUUUUCUUGAUUUUAGCUAUAUGUAUAUGCAUGUGAGCAAAUUAUUGGUAGAACUCCCCUGGUUCUGAUUGUUUCCCGAGAAAAAGAAUUGGUCUUUCUACUGUUGAAGAAGAUUUUUUUUUUUUUUUUUGGUUUCUUUUUCCAGCUUCAUGAUAAACCAUGGAGCAGAAGAAAAAAAAAGGAUUUUUUUUUUUCUUGGAGAAAGUUAGUGCAGAGUGUGUUUUCUUAGGAAACAAACAGUCUUUCUGAACGGUGUUACUUGUAUACUUUGUUGCGAAUUGUUGAUUCCUUGAAAUGGUCCGAUAAGCUUUCUUUUUUCCUUUUUGUUGAUUUGGUCUCCAACAUUUCAACCUUCCCUUGAACCCUUAGCUUGGCUUCGGACGUGCCAACUAAUACACCUGCAACUAGUUUACAAAGAAGCUUGGUAGUUUAAGUGAUCGCGAGGAUCCUACAAAGAAUCAGUGGAAGGAAAGGAAAGGAAAAUUAUUAAAAUAACUGGAAAAUCAGUUCCUUUUUCAAGCCCUUUUUCAGCACUUCUCUUUCUUUCUGAGAUUGAAAAUGGUGUCCUUUGUGGCUUUGGCUAACCUAAAUCUAAGGCCUUUUUAUUAUCCUAAUGUAUUGAUAUGUAAAUUGGAUAUUGUCCAUUAUGCAAACUGCAGAAGUUCUAACAGAGUAGUGUUAUUUCAGGAAUAUUUCCUUCAACAAUGAAGGUUACCAAGGGUAAAGCAGCGGCAAGGAAAGACAAAAAGGAAGCAUUGAAGCCUGUUGAGGACAGGUUCAUUUACAUUCUACUUUUUAACUGAUCAAAGUCGUAGUAUUUUAAUUUCUUGGUUUUUAAGGAUGUAGAUAUGGUUGUAACUUUGUUUGAUUUUGUGAUCAUCUUGUUAGAUUGGUGGUUGACUUCUGAGUGUGAGCCUUGUUGACUUCUGGCGUUCCCUUUCCCUUUGUUAAUAGAUACAGCUUUGGGCUGAAUUGUGUUGUGAUAUAUUUUAUUGUUUCAGGAGGCUUGGGAAGCGAAAGGCAGCACUUAAGGCAGAUAAAAGUACCAAAAAAUUGGCAAAGAAAGAAAAAUUGGCCAAGAAGGACCCUAACAAGCCAAAGAGGCCUCCUAGUGCUUUCUUUGUGUUUCUGUAAGUUCAUCUCUAUGUUUGAUGGUGAAUUUUGAGAAACAUGUAUUUUCUAAAUGAUGCGAUCUAAUUUGAAGAUCUCUCAACUUUUCUUCCAUGUAAAUGCUGCAGAGAAGAGUUCAGGAAGGUAUACAAACAAGAGCAUCCCAAUGUGAAGGCUGUUUCAGCUGUAAGAAGUUACCUAGCAUUAUUUUUGCUUUUAUUCUUUGCAUUGAAAGCAUUUGGUCAGCUUGAUAGUUCAGUCUUUAGGAAAUGAGAAUUUGACCCUUGGUCUCUGCAUGCUUCAAUUGAAGGUUGGGAAAGCUGGGGGAGAGAAGUGGAAAUCCCUGUCUGAAGCUGUAAGUGCUCAUGCCUCCCAAAAGUAACUCGACGUGAUUGGGAUGUGUUGUCAUCCCGUUUUGUUUAGUUAGUUUAACUUAGAGAAUCAAAUUAAUUCUGUUUGUAAAGGUGCUGCUUUAACCUAUCACCGUGGCUCUCACUCGGCCUGGAUAUUCACCAAGCACAUAUUCGAUGACUUUGGAUCUCUAAGUUGUGUGGCCAAGCCAAUGCCAAUCUAAUGUAGACUGCAGAAGCACUAGAUAAUUGGCAUUGUCUAGGCCCUGAAGACUCAUAAUGACUGGACGUGGAGUAAGAUAUAUACCUCUUGACAGAUCUGGCAAGUUGGAAAUAACAUUAAUAUGAAAUAGUCAAAAUAAGUAAUUAUGCAAAGGAUAUUUUAACUUUUUAGUGUCUGUAAGUUCUCUUCUCCAUCAAGAGUUUCAAUCUGGCUUGGAGACUGGUGAUGCUUCAUGAACUAUUGACCUGAUUCUUCUUUACUGGGUUUUCCAGGAUAAAGCUCCAUAUGAAGCUAAAGCAGCAAAAAGGAAAUCGGACUAUGAAAAGCUUAUGGCAGCAUACAACAAGAAACAGGUGAUUAUUGGCCCAUCCAUCUUGUGAGAAAUUAAGGGCUUGUUUGGCAACGUAUUCAAAAACAGUUCUUAAUUGUUUUGAGGAACAAAAUUCUGUUUGGGAACUCAAAUAUGGAAACCAGUUUUCUUGAUUUAUUCUUUCAUGUAAGUACUAAUCUACUUAAGUAAAAUGCAAAAGUUCUCAAAAUGCUCUCCAUAUUUUUUUUAUUGUUUCUUAGAAUUCUCUACAAAAGACACUAGAAAACACCUCUUUUUCUAAAAAAAUAAUUUGUUUUCAGAACAAAUUCUCAAGAACCUAUUUUCAGUAAAAAAAAUAAAAAUUCAAUCGUAUUUUUUGAGUUUUAAAAACUGUUUUAUGUUCCAAACAAGCCAUAAUGUUUUAUUCUUCCCUUCUUACUUCUUGACUUGCUUAUCUGGCUUCAGGAAAGUAUGGCUGAUGAUGAUGAAGAAGAGUCUGACAGGUCAAAAUCUGAGGUAAAUGAUGAAGACGAGGAAACUGGAGAGGUAGUCUUCUGAAGUUCCAAUUCUUCUCAUUGUCCAUUGUUUAGUAGUAUUUCCCCUUUUGAAGCUCAUUCUUUUCCAUAUCUUUCUCCAAUCGGUAUUAACAAAAUUGCCUUACCUCUUUGUAGGAAGAGGAAGAAGAUGAGGAUGAGGAUGAGGACUGAAACUAGCAUGUUUUAUAGAUUAAGUCCUUAUGGUUGAUCAGGCCAUAAAUUCUGGAUUAUGUAAUGAUCAUACCUUCGGGUUGUGUGUGAUUGGUUUUGAGAUGGGAAAGCUUGCAGCCUGUACUGCUGCUAAGUUUCCAUGUUAGGUUACUUGUGUAUUUCGUAUGCAUAUAUGUUCCACUCCCUGUCUCAGUUAAAUAUAUCCUGAUCAUUUCACAGGUCUUCCUCUCAUGAUUUCUUUAGUUAUUAUUCCCUUAUUACCAGUAAACAGGAAAUGAAUGAACUAGAUAAAUAUAAAUUGGGGUUCAGUCAUAUUAUUCCUUACUACUGGAACUGCUUUUAAGAGUGCACUUGGAGGUUUGUAUCAUUUUUUGGCAUGUUGGUUACUCUUAAUUGGUGUACAAUCCCAUUCUUUGGACCGCAGCACAUGUUUCUACAAUGAAAGGCAAAUCCAUGUGUGCUAGUGCUGUGUUGGUUAUUUUGAAGUUUGUUUAGCUGACAAUGAGAAAGUGAUUCAACACUACCAAAUUGUAUAUGGUGCUACUAUUCUACGCUGUCAAAUCAUGUUUAAUUCCUUGAUGUGUAGGUUAAAUUGUAGUCCUUGCGGAUUAUUUUGUAGUUUGUUGAGGUUAUGAUGCCGUAUACUUUCUGUAGUGUCCUUCCAUACCAGCAUAUGUAUGGGAUGUGACAUAAUGUUCUACAAAAUUGUUUAUGGAGAAAGUAAUCUCUCCUCAGACAUCAUUAACUGCUUAUUGCAUCUUUUAAGUUCUGAUAUAUAAGGAUCUUCACUUCUUUGUUAGAUAUUGUAAUACCUUUUAACUCUGAUUUUGUGGUAGAAUUAGAAGGUAAGUUGUAUCUUUGACAGGGAUAUGUGGUCUUCUGGACAAUUUCUCCCAACUUGGACCUUCUACAAGUUAUGUUUAGGAUAUUGUAGCCCGAACCUGGAAAGACAAGGAAAGUUGAUCUUAUGCUUUCCUUCAACAUGGUUUUUGGGAUGUGCUAAACUGGAUAUGGUCAUUUUCCCCUCUCUUGGAAAUUAUCUCAAGCUACGUGUAUGGAAGAUGGGAUGAUUAGCGAAGAAUUUGAGUAUGAUGCUCUACUGGAUGGAUGGUUUUUUUUUUGAGGCAUCUAAUAGAAUGUUUUGUCUAGGUUGCAUUGUUGCCCUCUUUCCCAUGCUGUUGGUAGGAUGCGACAUCAAAACAUGGUUGGGCCCAUUUAAAAUAUGACCUGAAUCACUUUCUAACAGGAGGAAAACAAAAGUUUCCAGAAUGGACUUGAAAGUCCAGUGCAGAGAGACUAUGCCUACAAUUCUAUAGGAUGAACUGAUAAUUGCUUCAGUCCAAGGGUUAUCGUGCUCUUUUUAUGUAGCUUGGAUUAGGAAGCGAUUCUCAAUCAAUUAGAGAAUAGAACAAAAAAUACCAGUGAGCCUCAGCUGUCUGCACCUCUCUUGCUACUGUUAUUAGUAUGCUACAUAGCCAUCAUGAUCCUGCUGGUUCUCGUAGAGGCUUUUAAAUGGUCCAUGGAUCGAGCCCAGAAAAUCCAUCAAACCCAUUUGAAAGCCCAAAGAUGAAGCCCCAAAUUGUCAAAGAUUAUCCCAAAUCUUUCAACAAGUUCAUACAUUCUGAACAUGACUACCUCUUGAUCCUACACUUUAUGAAUCUCAAAUCACUCCACAUCAUUUUGAUGCUGAUUAUCUCCCAAAACCCGAAACAACCCCACACUUUGGAGAAUCCUGUGAACUAAUCAAGCUGUUGUUUCAGGUAUAAGAUGGGACUUAGUCUAGGCACAGGCAGGGUGGUGGUUCCUUUUGGUCCAUCUAGGAGACAACUUCAUAUCAAACAUGUCGAACCGUGUGCGCCUUUUGUUGGAUCAUGUGUCCAGCAUCAAGAAUGUGAUUGAUCCCAUAAUGAUAAUAAUUACAGUAAUGUGCAUCUUUAACAUUAUAAAAGGGCAACCCCUUUCCAAGAUAUCAUUAAGACUUCAUAUAGGGGCAUAAUGAAGCUUCAUAUAGUCCAGAUCAAAAGAUGGGCUGUAAAGAAAAGCAUAAUGUGAUGGGGGGAUUAGACUAAAAGAAAAAGGAGGGGGGAGGAUAUAGCAAAUGGUAAUGAUGGGAACCAAGAAACCAUAGAUUCACAAGUGUCCAUGUUGCGACAUGUCGCCGGAAAGCAAGAAAGUGCUGGCCACAUGGUCGCGAGGGACACGCUCAAGUGGACUACAAAUGCCAUCAUAAUCAAAAGCAAAAAAGAGAAAGGAAAGCAACCCAUUAUCCCUACAUAAACCCCCCAUUGUUUUCUUUCUUUCUAUCAUCUUUCUCUGCUAAUCAUGAUUUAAACUUGUAAUUCAAUUCCCAUCAUUCUACUGCAUAUUCUCCAACAUUAAUCAUUCUCAUUGUCAGUUCCAACAAAUGUUUGGCCUUCGUUAUUAUCAUGAAUCUGUUUGCACGUCUGGGGAUGUCGGUCAUUUGUCGCCCUUAUUCUUGCCUACAGACAUGUGAUGCUGUGAUUAUUCAUUCUUGUCUUGGUUGGUUGGUUGGUUUUAGGUAUCAAGAAUCUGCGACCUGGGAAAACGAUGGUUGAAAAUGAUUCUGGGAUGACUGCGUAACAUCGGAGAUUGUUAAGACCUUGCUAUAAGUCAAGGGCCGAAGAUGGGUGCGUUGUUUGGGUUGCGUCGAACCCUAUUGGGUACCAUCCGGAUUGUUAGGCCCUAAGAAUGAGUGUGACGUUGGACUACAUAAAAAAGAAACGGGAAUUGUGUGGGAUGGGUUAAGCCCUAUUAUGCACCUUGGAUUGUUGACUCCCGCAAUGAUUGAUGUCGUAUCAUGUAAAUAGAAUUAAUUUGACUUCAUUCACAAUCAAUUGAUCUGAGAUGAGAUGAUUAAAGUAUUAUUUGCUUUUAUUUUUUUUUAUUAAUUUCUUAAAUUUUUUUGACUAGAUAAAAAAAAUCAAAAUAUUUAACUUUUUUAAAUACUAAUUAUAACUUAUUAAUUUUUCUAUACCUCUCAUUAUUUAACACUGUUAAAACUAUUUGAUUAUAAGUUUUAUUUAUAAUUAGGUCAAAAAACAAACAUUACUUCAAGUCUUUUUGAAGUCUCAGUAAUCUUAAAUACAUGCAUUUUAUCAUGCUGCCUUUUACCCUACUUCUCUCUCUCUCUCUCUCUCUCUCUCUCUCUCUCUCUAUAUAUAUAUAUAUAUAUAUAUAUAUAUAUAAAAUUUUCGUUUUCUCUGUUUCCUGAUUGUGGAUACUCCUAGGGAAUGAAUGAGUAUUUCUUAUCUGUGUAGUUUGUGUCACUUCACACCUAUGAGAGCUUACUUUUUGCUUGACAAACUAUUGUUUGGGCGGAACAACAAUACUAUUAUAAGCAUAGGAAACUUUUAUUCUAUGAGAUUAUGCUUAGAUCUACCAUACUCAACAAUGGCACAACACAGCAUGAGCUGCUAGAGACUAGAUUGACAAGCUUCCGAAAACAUUCCUAAAGAAAAUGGUAAUUUAGGCUUAGUUAAGCAGCAUCAUGUGGUGGGGUAGGCCUAGUUAAGCUGUAAGUAUAUGAAAAUUGGGUUGAUUUUAGUUAAGCAGAAGUUUGAAACUAAAAGUAGUAAUCCUUAGACUGAAAACUGAUGGAGCUUAGGGAGAAGUUAGGCAGAAAAAUAUCUUAUUUUGGACUGACUGAUAGGGGAUUUGGAUAAGCUUCUCUUUUCCUUGGAGAUAUGGAUAAAAGUUCCGUCGAUUGUAGCCUCAAAAAUGGUGGAUUUAUCAGUAAAGACAAAGCCCAAAAAAUCCAGAAAUAGUUGGCCAUGAGGUAAGUGUGAGAAUAUAAAACAGGAUAUUUUUCCUAUUCUUUUAUCUCUACCAAGGAUAUGUGGGAUAUUUUAGUAGGAAUGGGAUUAAUUUUAUAGACAUAUUAUAAAUAUCAUAUUUAAAAAAUAUUAUAAUCAAGUAAGCAAUUUGUUCAAGGAAUUAUUCAGGCUCACUAUUUUUUCCCAAACUGAUUAGAUGAACAAUAAUAAGGAUGUGUUGCCAUUACUAGACAUGCUUGAUGUGCAAGAAAAUAUCAUUCUAGCUAAAGAUUAGAUAAAUUGAUGGUGGAGUAUAUAAUGAAGUUCAACCAUACUUUUGACAGAAGGAAACAGGGAAGGUGAUCAUUUUAAAGAUGGAUUUGGAUAAUGGAAAAGAGUGGAAGUCUGCCAUUAGUUUCAUGAUAUCUUUAUGGGUUUAAAUAAUUUCCUGUUGGGUCAAAACAAUUCUAAUCAGAGGAAAUCCCAAGUGAUUUUUUUCCCUGUUCUUGGGCUUUCUCAUGUUUCUCCUAGGUUUCUUUUGUCGUACUCUCCUAUAGUUUUAUUACACUUUACUAGUAUAUUUUUGUUCAAAGAUAUUUCCCACCAAAUGCAUGCUAUGAGUCUAUGAAAAAGGCUUUUACUUUCCAUGCUGGAUUCGGCUUUUGCUCCUCAAUCUGAAAUCAUAGUCAUUUGGCACCUUGCAUGACUACCUAUUAUCUUUCGUGUGCCCUCGAGGAAUCAAAAUCUGUCCCUAAUAGAACGGCCUUCCCGUACCUCGUCAUGGGGACAAACUUAUUCAUAUUCUCGUUGGCUUAAUGCUUAUCUUGUUUGAUGGUUGAGACAAAGUCAUUGUUACCUUCUUUCGUCCCUACUUAAAAUGCAAAUGCAAAGGUAAAAAAGUGGUUUGACUCUUAUUCUUUGACAUCGACGUCAGUACAAACAACAAACAAGUAUUUUGCCAAUGUUUGAUUUCAUAAAAAUGCAUAUGUUGUUAAGGUGUUGUCGAAGGCGUGGGGGUCAUAGCAGAUAUCCACUAAUAAUUUUUUUCCUAAAAGAGGGCAAGCCCACAUGACGAUGACUCAUCGGUUUAUUCUUGGUUGUAUAUAGGUGGCUAGCUUGACGCCAAUGUAGAAGAGAAAUUUGUUGUUCAAAAUAUUUUUCUUCUUCAUUUUAUCUGCAACUUGAGUGCUAACUUGAUUGUCGGAGGGGGAUGCGCUGGAGCACCCACAUUUGACAUUUCCUUUUGUUUGCAAGAGGCACAAAGUUUAGUAUUGGAUAAUUGGGAUUGCACUUGUUGGUAAGAUUGCAGAGUGGGAACUCUAGAGGAGGAGUUUGUUGGAAAAUUGUUGCUCCAACAAUUGACGUUAUAUGUUGGUAUGGAUUGAUUGUGGAGUCAUUCUCCUAUUGGAGAAGACAUAUCACAUGAUGGUGGUGGAGCUUAUACUUUUAGAGGAACAAAUUAAAGCAAUCAUGGCUUAAAUGGAGACACAAGAAAAGGAACGUCAUUGUCAAUAUGAAUCACUGUGGUAGAUUAUAGAUUAAUUGUACGCUAAAAACCAACUUUCUUCUUCAGUCACUAUUAAAUCAUUAGUCGAUGGAGUUUGAUCAUCACUCAUUCUCACACUCAAGAUUGACCACUCCUUUUAGUGCGCAACACCAAUAUUGAGCCUCUAGUAGAGCUGAUUUCCACUACCCGAUGUUUAGAACCAAACUUGCUUCCCCCAACAAACCUCGACAUACUUGGAAAAUACAACUAACAUGUUAAAAAGUUGGUAGAGGCACACCACCCCAUUGACAUCACUUGCGGUCAUCACAUUUGAUCGCUUGGCUAAUCAUUUACUUGGCUCUAAAAUGACUCAUCUAGAUGCCCUUUCUCAGGAAAGUGAUGGUGUAGGAAUCACCAUAAGGCCUUUUUAUACCCAAAUUUAAUUCGUUUGAUGGGAGUACCUACUAUAUAUAUAUUGUAUUUUAGACAAGCCAUGAUAUCGAAAGCUUCCAAUGAGUUACUAUUAUGUAAGAUUUUUCCGACUAGCUUGCGCGGUUCCGCCCUAUUGUGGUUCCACAGCUAUGGGAGGAGUUAGUUCAUUCUUUUUGGACCAUGUGUUAAGCAUUUAUGAUCAAUAUCGAAUAUUAUAUUUGUCCAAAAGGGUAGGCUAGUUCCUUAUUUGAGAUGCUAAUCGGCCUAGAGGGAGCGAUUUGCCAAUUUUUCAAAUGUUUUAGCCAAGCCUGAAUGCAGUUCAAAGGAGAUAAUGACAUUGUUGGUAUUGAGGAUUUCAAACAAGCUCUACCCAAUCAUUUGGAGUUGAGGAAACCAUUAACCCCUUUCAUUGCUUCUCAAGGAGUGCAUAAAAUGGAAAAUGAGGAGCAUUAAAGGAACUGAAAUCCAUCCCUCAUGGUCCGAGCAUAAUAAUAAGAACAAAUUCUCCUCUACAUAAUCAAUCAUAGGGUUGGACCGAUUCAUGUUCCCAUUAACUUAAUGUCCAUCUCAUUAGACAAAUAAGACAAAGUCAUUGUCAUGGAAGAAAAUGUCAAGAUAUAUCGGCGAUAUAUCGUGUAUCGGAGGGUGGCGACACGAUAUUUUGUGAAGAAAAAUAGUUGAAAAUCGGCCAAAAAUCACCAAUAUAUCACUGAUUUAUCAGCAACAGGCUAUAAAUUGUCGAUUUUAUGCAAAAAUCUGCCAGGAUGGGAGAAAAUUGCCUAUAUUUCGGUGAUUUUUUGGCAAACUUUUUGCUUCUCUCUCCAACGUGAUUUGAUGGCCCAGAUCACGUCUGUGUUGAUCCGACGACCCAGAUCAUGCCUGCUGCGUCUACUUGCAACGGUUAUCUAUCCAACGCCCCAAAUUGAAUCUGAGUUUGAUCCAAUAGUUAGGAUGAGAUUCCAACGGUAAAAUCACGAUCCAACGGUCAGAUUUCGUUCAGAUUUUGAUCCAGUGGCCAAAAUUGCUUUUCAACGGUAAAAUAAUCUUCUAAUGACUAUUUUGGCCUAAAUUUCUUCUAUAAAUAGCCCAUUUUGCAUCCAUUUCAUCCGCCUUUGAUUUCAUUCUUCAUUUUCUCUCUCAUUACUCCAAAUUUUUCUAAAGUUGCUCAAUUAUUCAAUCAUUUUAAGGUAUGUUUGUUUUUAAUUGUAAUUAAUUCAUGUAUUUUCAAUUAAUUGGUAUAUUUGCAAUACGGAUUAUUUAAUGUUAUUUUUACAUUUAAUUGUAAUUAAUUUUUAUAUUUUUAUUAAAUUAACUUAAGUUAAUUUGAUUAUUUAAUUAUAAAUUGAUAUAUUUAUUUUAGAUGAUUAUUUAAUUUUAUUUUCACAUUCAAUCUUGUUAGAAUUAUAUUCAACUAGUUAACUUAGAUAAAUUGUUUAAUUAAUUUAAUUAAAAUGAACUAGUAUAUUUGAAAUAUCAAAUAUGUUCAUUUUUUAUGAUUAUUGUGAUUUAUUUUCAUAUUCAAUUAUGAUUAAUUUUUAUAUUUAGUAAAAUUUUCAUAUAAUUAGAUUUAGAUUCAAAAAAUUAACUUAGCUAAAUUAUUAAAUUAGUUUAGUUAGCAUGAACUAGUAUAUUUAGAAUAUCAAAUAUGUUCAUUUUUUUUUAUGAUUAUUGUAAUUUAUUUUCACAUUCAAUUAUAGUUAAUUUUUAUAUUUAGUAAAUUUUUUCAUAGAAUUACAUUUAGAUUCAAAAAAUUAACUUAGCUUAAUUAUUUAAUUAGUUUAAUUAACAUGAACUAGUAUAUUUGGAAUAUCAAAUAUGCUCAUUUUUUUUUAUGAUUAUUGUGAUUUAUUUUCACAUUCAAUUAUAGUUAAUUUUUAUAUUUAGUAAAUUUUUUUCAUAGAAUUACAUUUAGAUUCAAAAAAUUAACUUAGCUAAAUUAUUUAAUUAAUCUAAUUAACAUGAACUAGUAUAUUUGGAAUAUCAAAUAUGCUCAUUUUUAAUGAUUAUUGUGAUUUAUUUUCGUAUUCAAUUAUGAUUAAUUUUUAUAUUUAGUAAUUUUUUCAUAGAAUUAGAUUUAGAUUUAAAAAAUUAACUUAGCUAAAUUAUUGAAUUAAUUUAAUUAACAUGAACUAGCAUAUUUGGAAUGUCAAAUAUGUUCAUUCUUUAUGAUUAUUUUGUAGAUUUCUCAUAGAUUUAGAUUUAGUAAACUAACAUAGCUAAUUUAUUUAAUUAAGUUAGCUAUUAGCAUAAAUUAGUAUAUUUAGAAUAUGCUCAUUUUACAUGAUUAUUUAAUUUUCUUUUCUCAUUCCAUUGCAAUAUGUUAAAUUUAAAUGUUUACUUAAUUUUUGUUUACAUUGAAAUCACAUUCAAGUGUAUUUCUUUUGCAAUAGAUUUAGCAUGGCUAGUGAAUGUGAUUCUGCCAUGCUAGGGCGAAAUUUAGUUUGGAAGUAUUGUUCACCAGUUGAGGGGAACAGAAAUGAAACAAUUUGUAAUUUCUAUGGGUUGUUGAUGAAAAGUGGAGGCAUCAUGCGAUUCAAGUCUCAUUUAACGCAUAACGACCCACAUAACAACACCAAAAAGUGUUUGAGAGUGCCUCCCAAAGUGAAAGAAGAGAUACGAUUGGUGGUGCAUGACAAACAUACAACAAAAAUAAAGGAAACCGUUGAUAUUUAAAAGAUUCGUGCUCAAUUACAUGGCACAGUGGGGACUCGUGAUAUACAUUUGAUAAACGAAGAUAAUGAUGAUGAAGAUGUGUAUAUGUAUCCGAUAGAUAUGCACCCAGAUGAGCGGGAUGCAUAUCGAUUUGUAGUUGUGCCUCGAAAGUGUUAGAAUGGAACAUCAACAAUAUGAAAAUAUUGUAGGAAGCGAACGAAAAAUGGGGGAGUCUUCACGGUCUACUGGUACAACAAUGACAAUGCGAAAAUCACAAAGUAUGCGACAUUCGAAUCAGUCACCCCCUGUUGCCCCUUCGCUCUACUAAGUUUUCUGUAGCAAGACAAAAAAAUAUCAAAGAUAUAUUGAAGGGUGGUUCAAUUAAAGAAAUGAUGGGACACUUAAUUAACAAAUUCUUCAUUUAUGAGAGUGUUGCACCCCAAAAAGCAAAGUCUCAUCACUUCAAGAAUAUGAUUAUUGGUGCACAACAAACAGGUAAUUACUAAUUAUUGAAUCGUUAUAUUGUUUCAGACUUUUAGUAAGUAUAGUUUUUUUUGACAUGUUUUACAUAUUUGUUAUAUAUGAAUUGCAGGAAUGAGAAUCGAACCUCCAUCUCUAUAUGAAAUAAAGAACAAGUACUUGGAAAUGGAGUACAAAAAAAUGAAAGCUUAUGUGAACCAACAAAGUGAAAAAUGGAAGACAUAUGAGUGCACAAUAAUGUCAGAUGGAUGGAUAGGCCCCACAGAAUUGAGUAUUAUUAAUUUCAUGGUUUAUUCAAAAGGGACCAUAGUGUUCCUUGAGUCAAUCGAUGCAUCGAACCAUAUUAAAGACCACAAGUAUAUAUACAAGCUAUUGAAGACUAUUAUAAAAAAAGUCAUUCAAGAAAAUGUGGUCCAAAUUGUCACAAAUAAUGGGUCGGCGUUCAUGAAAGCAAGAAAACUAUUGAUGAAGAAGUUUAACUUAUAUUGGACUCCGUAUGCGGCGCAUUGCAUCGACUUAAUCUUUGAAGACAUUGGUAAAAGACCCAGUGUUAUUGAUGUGAUAAACAAUGCUCACAAGAUAACUAACUUCAUUUACAACCAUGGUUAGUUACUUGCACAAAUGAGAAAGUAUUAUGGUAGAGACAUUGUUCGACCAGGAACUACAAGGUUUGCUACCAAUUAAAUUGCUCUUGAUAGUCUUUUUAAAAAAAUUGAUGAUUUGAAAAAAAUUGUUUAUGAGUGAUGAAUGAGCACAACACAAGCUCAGUCGAACAUAAAUUGGACUAGAUUUGGAGCAAUUAUUGUUUGACCAUACGUAUUGGGACAAAGUGGCAAAUAUAGUUUCAUUAUAUAAGCCAUUAUACGUGGUGCUUCAACUUAUGGAUUCUGAAAUUGUUCCCACAAUGCCAUUUGUGUACGAGCUUAUGCAUGUGAUGAAAGAGAACCUUAUUUGUCAAGGAACUGGAAAUUGGAUUUUCAAAAUAAUAAAAGAUCGUUGGGAGAAAACACUAAAACAUCCACUUCAUGCAGCAACCUUAAGUACUAUAUAUCUUUAUAAGUUUUUACUCUGUAUUUAAUUUUCUUUAACAAAAUACUAACUCUACUUAAUUUUAUUGUAGCAUACUUCUUGAAUCCAAGAUUUCAAUAUAGGCAUGGAGUUGGUAGUGAUACAGAACUACUUCAAGCGGUCCAUGAUGUUUUUGUAGAAUUAGACCCAACUAUUAAAUCGCUUGGUCAAUCUAGAAAUGAGGUAAGUAAAAAAUUGUUAUUUUUGUCAAUAAAACAAUAAUUUCAUUCAUCAAUUUAUUUGAACGUUUACUACCAAAUAUGAUAUUAACAAAUUAAAUGUUGAAUACAUAGCUUGUGUUUUUUCGAGAUGCCAAAAGAGGAUUCGGUGAUCGAGCGGCGAUUGUAGCAAGGUCAACCAUGGUGCCCGGUGAGUCUUUAUAGGAAAAAAUUUAUUAUCAUUAUUGUAAAUUCACCACAUAAGUAUUUAUAUGAUUAUCAAAUUGGUUGCAGCUGAAUGGUGGUUCAUGUAUGGGAUUCAAAUACCUACAUUAAGAAAGUUAGCCAUUAAAGUUUUUUCACAAACUACGUCAUCUUCUGUCUAUGAGAGAAAUUGGAGUACGUUUGCUCUCAUCCACACAAAGCAACGAAAUCGUUUGGCUUACCCUCAAUUGGAGCAAUUAGUUUUUUGUUACUAUAAUAUGAGAUUAAAGUUACGCAAUAUGGAGACAGAAAAUGAUCGAGUUGCUAAAAAAGAUUACCUUGAUCUUCUUGACAUUUCAGUCGAUGUGGGUGAAGAAGAAGAUAAUCAAUUGUUCCAAUGGGUUAAGCCUAUACACUUGGAUGACGAAGUUGGAAAUCCUGAUCCACGAAUUACCGCUCAUGUUCGAGAAUUUGGAGUUAAUGUUGAACGUGUGUUGUUCGAAGAAGUUUAUUCUAAAAGUUUUAGCAAAGAUACUGAUGAUUCAUUUCAGGCGGCAUUGAAUUCCCACCAAGAGGUGGAAUCCACUAGUGCGGGCCAUAGUAGUAGACCUAAUGCUGCAGAUACUUCUACUUCUGGUUACGAUGGUUCAAGAGGUGGAACUGAUGAUGAAUGUGAUACUGCGGGAUAAGCUAUUUGGGAACGUCAGCAUAAUCAAUAUCCAAUCAGCCAAUUUACCUAUGAAAAUGAUUUCACACAUUGCACACAUAAUGAAGACUAUGGCUCUAGAAGAGCUGGUUCGGGCAUAGGAGCUAUUGGGAAACCCUAUGGAGAAAGAGAACGAACAAUGGAACCAUAUAACGAGGAGUUACUUUCAAGGAGUUUUAAAUCUAUGAGUAUAAGGACUCAAUUUAGUGACUCCUCGAAUGAGGCUAAUGUCUACCCUCCUCAUGUGAUGAGUUAUGAUCAACCUUCAAGUUCAACCGAUAAAGAGUAUGGUAUGCCGUGUUGCUCUCCUUCCACACAAAUGUCAUACCAAGUUCCAUAUUAGAUGGAAGAAGGAUUUGACAUUAACACAUAGGUGAACUUUGAGUAUCAUAUCAAUGUAGAGCCAGCGGGCAAGACUUAAAAGAUAUAUGUAUGGCAUAUUAGAAUUUUCAACCAAUAUUAUCGAGGCUCAUUGAGUUUGUACCAAUAUUGUCUCAAACAGCAAGACGGAGUUCUUUCAUCUUUCAAUCCCAUUAAACCACAUCGAUCAUCAUUUUGGUACUAAAGGGACAUUGCAAUGUAAUGUGUACAAAUUAUUGAUAUUUAAUAAAAUGAAGUAUUUUAUGUGACUUCAUAAUGAGAACAAUUACAAAAUUAAUAUUUCUUAUAGAUCGACAUGAUAUAAUUACAUCUAAUAUCACAAAUUAUAUCAUAUGUAUAUCAAAUCUUUCAAUAAAACAACUUUAAAAUGUUUAUUAUACUUCUAAUUAUAUUAUUAUGAGGUUUUUCUUACAUUUCCAUAAGUUUUUAACAGUUUUAAGCCUAUCGAAUUUUUUUUCCAAAAUAUCUGCCGAUAUAUCCGUAAAAUCGAAGUACCGAUACAUCUAUGAUUACCGAUAUUUUUAUCCAUGGUCAUUAUUACCUUCUUCUGUCCCUACUUAAGGUGGAAAGGUGGCUUGAUUUUUAUCCCUUAUCCAUUGUUAAGUAAAAUGGACAAGUAUUUCGUUAGUGCCUUCUUUUGUAAAGACAUUUACAUUUUUAAGGUAGUGUUAUUGCAUGGAGGUUAUAGACACACAUAUGCAAAUCGUUUUCUUCCCUUAGCGAAGGCAAACCCACACGACGAUUUACUCGUUUGUUGAUUCUUGACUAUAUAUAGGUUGUUGGCUUACGUUAAUGCAACAGAGAAAUAUAUUAUUCAAGAUAUCGUCCAUCUUCUUUCUUCUUCUUCUUCUUCUUCUUCUUUUUGUUUCCAAAAACUUGAGUGCUAACGUGACCAUCGAAGCACUCCCACUCAACACUACCUUUUAUUUGUUAGAGAUGGGAAAUUUAGUGAUGGAUGGAGUUAUUGCACUUACCAAUAAGAUUUCAGAGUGAAAGCUUUAGAGGAAGAUUUUGUUGGUACAACAAAUCCCAUAUCUCAUUUUUGUGUUUGAGGAUCACUCGCAUAGAAAUGAAGCUGUGGUAGAUGAACAUAUUCCACUCAUUUACAAGAAUUUUGGCUGCCUUCACGGGCAAUCAACUCUUAUAAGACAUAGAUAAAAAGUAAAAGCUUCUCCCCUAUAUGAAAAAGACCAUAAGAAAGGGAAAAAAUAGCCGGUGGUGCUAAUAAAACCUACUGCAUGUAUGCUAUCAGGUAGGUUUGUCCCCCUUUUUCGCAGCAAUAAAAAGAAGGUACUAUGAUAAAUCAAAAGAUAAACAGUAGAGGAUGUAACUGUGGAUUCUACUUUUGCUGGCUCACCCUCUUUUCUCAAGGAGACUAAGAUUAGUGAGUGAUUAUUUUAUGACGUUUGAGAUUAAGGGCAUAAAACUAAGUCGAUUAGAAAAUGAUUGGAGGCAAAGAAAAGUCACAAAAUGGUGCAGUAAUGGAGCAAAGUAUGAGGCAUUAGAAGACAAAACAAGGGAAGAAAACUCAGAGUGGUGUUAUGUCUACAGAACAACUUCUUGAUUGCAGACAAAGUAAUCAAAUCUUCAAAAUUCAAAGCCAAUCUGGCCGGCAAUGUGUCAAUCAAACUCAUCACUCACCACCACUCUACCCAGAGUCUAAGAUCAUAUUUUAUAUUUCUAAAUCGACUAUUUUAUAUUUCUAAAGUCGACCAUAUUAUAUUUCUAAAUCAUCAUUACCAUACUAGAAUCAUAGCACCUGAGGACUCUUCAAAGUUUCCUUUGGAAUUCACAUCACCAAAGCUAGUAUGCCCACUGAGAAUGUAUGAAACUUGGGCAGCUUCUAUAGCUUUUACGAAAUUCGGAUUACCUUUGAUGUCGAAGAAUAUCAAUUUCAUUGUUUUAUUGUCUAGUUUUUCGUUCCAAUUAUGAAUAGAAGAAUCACUCAAAAAAAUUUCAUAGUAUAAGAAUCUGGACCUUUACUUUUACCGAUAAAACUAAAAAACUUAAGAAGAAAACUCUUUUUUAUUAUUUAAAAAAACGUUCUUCAAGGUUUUUAUUAUUAUUAUUAUUCUUUUUAAUAACAAUUUUUGGGUAAUUAAAAAAAUCCCAAUAACUGCUUCCUCCCCUUUUAAAACAUUGGGUCAAGUUGAACGAUCCACUUAUUCUUCUUUAGUAACAAUUUUUAAAUGGUUAAAAGAAAUCCCAAAAACAGCACCCUCCUCUUUUAAAACUUUGGGUCAAGUCAAACCAAACGACUUAUUCAUCUUUUCAAUAACAAUUUUUGGAUAGUUAAUAAAAAUCCCAAAAACUGCUCCUUUCCCUUAUAAAAUAUUGGGUUGGGAUGAAUCAGUCCACUAGUGGGGAUUGGUUUAACUGCCCAUUUACUUUAGUCAUCAACUAGUAAACCUACUUUGAAACCCAUGUGAGAAAAAUGGUGGGGGACUUUGAAAUUUGGGUGCAUUAAUGUUCUCCACCAUGUGAAAUGCUGCCAGGUAUGCGUAAUGUUUGCUUCUUUUCGUAUUGUCUUUAUUGGGCUGUGCUUCCAUUUAUGGACACCAAAAAGAGGGGUGGAAAAAGGCAAUGUACACUGUGGUCAGUGAGAUGAACUGGCCUUUUGCAUUUUGCCCAUUACUCAAGCUUUGCUUUUAGGGUUGUAGAGCUUUUGAACAGUGCCUCCCCAAGGCCCAAUAAAAUAUUCAUUUCAUGAAAUAUCCAAUUUUCCCAUGGGCUUGGAGAUGCCCAAAAUACUUUUAAAAGAAAUCAUUUAACAAAAAUAUCCAAGGGGGCGGAGGAAGACCCCCAUAUUCUUCCGCUCUCAAUUUUCCCAAUAUCAAUUCAACUUCUACCUAAUGAAACUAGAAGUUUGGGAGAGUGAAGUAGUCAUCAAAUAAAUGAAAUGAAAAUAGAAAAAAAAAAAAAAAAACCCGUACAUAGAAACAGAGUGACUGGAUCACGCCAGAUGCGAACGUGUGGAAGAAGAAAGGUGCAGCAGGUGGUGAUUGUGGUGAAUGGUGCGGGUGAGCUACAAACAAAAAACGAACAGAGCUGCAUGUGACUAUGUGACUCCCUACGAGACUCUUGCUCCUCUCUUUCUCCAUCUCUUUGUCCCUUUUGGAAAAUGUUAGCGUGUGGUUGUUUGCUUUCAAAAAUUAAAUUCAUUUAUAUAAAAAUUAAAUAAUUUAAAAACACAUCAUUAUCAUUGAGAUAUACUAUAAACUUUUAAAACACGUUCUCUAUCUUUAAAAAUCUUUGUUUUUCAAAUAAAUUUUAUAUGGUAAAAGAUUACCUUUUGAACAUACAUGGAAAAUGUAUCAUCAUCUAUCAAAUCAAGUUAUUUAGGUUCCAAUUUUGAUAUGGUAGGCUGAUUUGUUUCCUCUUUAAUCUUAUUUAUUUUAUUGUUACCAUAUUUUGUUGGAUGGUUAAUAGUACAAUAACUUGUCAUUUUCCAACAAAUUAAAUAGAAAUUAUUUGGCUAUUUGUUGCUGGGUUUGUGGGCACGUGCACCUCUGACACACGUGGUGUGUGUAAAUUCAGACUUUGGAAUGUGUACAAUCUCCUUUUUCCUUCUUUCUCUCUGCACACGUGCGCCUCAGUCCUCGUGUCUCUCGGCUGACCACUCAGCCCCACCCCUCCUUUGACUCCCUCACCUUCACCUUUUUCCUUCCUUCUCCACAACAUCUUCCCCUAAAUCACGCUUAUUUGUUUUCCCAUUUUAAUCAUUCCUUUAUCAUUUCAUUCAUCUUUUUAAUUAUUUUUACCCUAACCCACAUUUUUUUCCCCAACCCAGACUCCAUACAAUGAAGAAAAAUGGAACCCCUUUUGGCCUUGAGAAAAAAAAAAAUAGAAUUGGGGUAUUGAAUUAUUUGGUCCCCUUCCCUUUUUUUUUUGGUUUCAAAGGAAUAAAUGGGUAUGAGAUUUGAUGAGAUUUUGUGGUCCUUUUCUGCUUUGUAACAGGUACAACUUCAUAUUUAUGCCACCAUCUCUUCCCCAUUUGGCCUUUGUGGUCCAUUUUCUUUUUCCAAAUGGUAAAAAUCAUUAGCAAAAUUCAAAUUAGGAGAUGGGUAAGUUGGAUUUAAGAUUUUCAGCACAUUUUCCUUGAAAUGGUAACGCGUUUUUGUAAAUUUUUUUGACAAUUUAAAGAAUUAUAUAAGUUGAAGGUGAUUUUAUUAAAAUGGGUAUUUAAUAUUUUCCAAUUUAUAAGAAAAUGAAUUGUGUCGGUGAGUGUAUCAUCAUCCCUGUGGCCCUUAAGGCUUGAGGUCCUACACGUAUAGGGGAGGCCCUUGUCUGUGAGGGGUCAAGAACCAAUUCAUUAUGGCAAUGAAAAUGGUUGAGAGGGAGACCCUCAAACACCCAAAUGAAUAUAUGAUUGGAAUACUUGAAAAAUACAUGAAAUGAAAUGGGGGUAGGUCCAAUUCCGUUAAAAUGCAAAAUCAUUGAGACCCAAUUGAUAGGAUGGAUCCAAAAGGAAGCACAGCUGAGUGCCCACAUGGAAGUGGAUAUGGCUAGGGCCAGGGGGAGAAGCAGAAGGGAAGGGGCUAUUUUAGCUUUUUGAUUGAGCAAUUUGUAUAUGUGGGAAUUACAAAAUGGUUGAGAUGUGAAUCCUGUUCCUCUCCAUAGUGGAGGAAUGGUGCCAAAUAAAUAGCACAUUAUGUGGGGAAGUUGAAAUGGACCUUGAAUAUGAUAGUACAUAAUGUGGACAUCUACCUGUUCCUGGGCUGAAAACUGUCACCUCACACGUGGAGGGGAGAUGCUGUGGGGACUCUCUUCUCUCUCUCUCUCUCUCUCUUAUCAUAUGCCCUCUUCAUAUACAAUCCCAUUUGCAUCCCCCACCUCCCUUUCCUAUCACAAGCAUAAAAUUUAUCCUCAUUUUUAGCAUUCUAUUUGCUCAAAAUUUUCACAUUAUGCUAGCUUAAAAGUGGUCUAGGUCAACCUGAUAUCAAAAUUUUCACAUUCGGUAAGAUUUAAAAGUGGUCUAAGUCAAAUGCCGACAUUUUAUUUAUUUAUCAUCGUCAAUUAUUGGAUGUGAUAAUAAAAAGAAUUAUUUGUUAUUAGAUAUUAACAUAUAUGGUAUUGCAAGGUUAAAAAGGUAGUAUUACGUACGAAAGGGGAAGGCAUAUUGUCUUGCAUUAAUUGGUUAGGGUAUCUUGGAUUUGCAUCAUAAUCUAAUUAACUUAAUUAUUAAGCUAUAAGCAUAAGUAGAAAGCUCUAUCAUGAGGAUGAUACAAUAAUUUGGAUUCCUACAAUCAGGCAUGCAUCAAUGCAGAAAAAAACAUCAUAAUCAAACUUCCCAAGGAUUGGUACAAAGUUGAGUGGUGUCCAAAUCCCACAAAUCAUGCACAUUCUAAUGUGUCUCAGAACAACUAACCUACCUAUAAUCCUACUAACAUAAUCCUCCAUCAUAAACCCUUUUUCCCCAAUGGAGGAUAAUAAGAUUCUUCGAUUAAAAAACAUCCCAACAAUUAUUAUUAAAAGAAGACAGUUUGAUUUAACAUUAAUAAUUGGGUUUAAGAAUGUCUUUUAAGUGGCCUAAAGUUGAGUGAGGAUAUGAGCAAGUGAUGGGAUUCUCUCAUUAAAAAAAGGGCCCUUCAUUCUAAUACUAAAAAAUUAAAGGGAAAAAAAUGGGAAAGGUGGGUGUUGUGGGGGUUGAACCAUCCUGGGCUUCCAUUAUUCUAAGGGCUGUCAAGUGGGUAGAGGGCUAAAUGUCCCUUAUGGGGACCAUGUGGAUGAACAUGGGAUCAUCCCCUUCUCCUCUGUAUAUAUAUAUAUAUAUAUAUAUACACUUGUAUAUAUAAAUAAAAAUAAAGAAAUAUUCGGACCCUAUUAUUGCCUUGUACUUCUCCUUCUGUUUUAGAUUUUAUUCAAUUUUUUUUAUUAGAAGCUUCAAUUGCCCAUAAAACUUAGUUUUCUGUGAUAAUAUAAUUAUCAUUUGCGUUCAUAAUCAACCCCCACACCCCUCACCCCCCCUCCCAAAAAGCAAGGGUUUUUGGGAUUUCCACGACUCCCAUCUCAAAAUAACCCGAAUGUCCUUUCACACUUGGGCUCAGCUCAAGCGGGGCCACCCCUCUGGUACACCAUGAUAAUGUCAUGGCCUUAUUUUUCACCCUGGUGGGGCCAUUAUGGGCUUUCCAUCCAAUGGCUCUGGUAAUGUCAUCUGGGUGUGGGAUGGAAACACCUGAGCAUAUUCUCCAUAUGGUGGAAACUUGAAAAUAGGAAUAAAAUUUGAUUUAAUCACACCUUAUCUUUUUUUUUUCCUUUUAUUUUUUCCCAGGAAAAUCUAGAGAGAGAGAGAGUGAGUGUGUGUCAGAAAUUCAGAUACUGAAAUAUCCGGGCAUUAAUUUUCUUGACCUGUUCUUUUAGAUUCGUAGCAGAUACCCCUCGUGUGCUCCUCUUCAGUCCUCCAUUAAUGCCCUCUUCUUAAAAACACCCCUCCAAUCCUCCAUUAAUGCCCUCUUCUUAAAAACACCCCUCCACACCUCCAAACCUCCAAACCUUUUACCCCUUCCUCUAUAUCUCAAUCUUUAAUCUUCUCUCCGCGAUGGACUGGUCUCUGGCCGUUACCAUCGGUGCGGCUCUCCUCGCCAUCUUCUUCUUGUUCCUGCGCCUCACUCGCCCCAGGGGCCACCGCCUGCCUCCGGGCAACCUGGGGCUCCCCCUGGUGGGCGAGACUCUGCAGCUCAUCUCCGCCUACAAGUCGGCCAACCCUGAACCCUUCAUCGACGAGAGGGUGACUCGGUACGGGCCCUUGUUCACCACCCAUGUGUUCGGCGAGCCCACGGUG
This 53134-nucleotide long non-coding RNA is filed under the name Vitis vinifera (wine grape). RNAcentral's name for it is "long non-coding RNA (VVIN_LNC003986)". The record is from RNAcentral. Lineage: Eukaryota; Viridiplantae; Streptophyta; Magnoliopsida; Vitales; Vitaceae.